Molecule: long non-coding RNA, 55978 nt
Filed under: Gossypium barbadense (sea-island cotton)
Lineage: Eukaryota; Viridiplantae; Streptophyta; Magnoliopsida; Malvales; Malvaceae
Description: long non-coding RNA (GBAR_LNC015849)
Rfam family: MIR7502 microRNA precursor family (bases 9538-9682)
Source: RNAcentral
UCAAGUAUUCUUCUCCCCUACAUAUACUCCGAAGGAAUCAGACAAAUGUUCUUCCCUCUAACUGUGCCAGCAUAUUAUAGAACUCCCCCUGAAAAUAAGGACAAAAAAAACUUCAUGCAUUAAUUAGCAGUAUUUGUUGGAACAAUUCUAUGUUCAUAACAAAAUCUCAUACAUGUUACUUGCAUUCUUAAGUAGGUCUUAAGACAAUCGGACGCAUGUGUAGGGACGCAUCAAAGCUAAAAUAAGAAAAUAGGUGAGGUCAAUCUCGAGACAUGAAAGACCUUGUCCCAAGAUAUGCUAAAAUCGAAACAAAAUUCUCAAAAAUGAAAUGUGGCAUGUCUCAAGACAUAAUGUGAAAACUUGAAAUUUUGAUUUGGAUUCGAGUCUUAACUCUUAAAUCAACCUCAUAUUUUGAUAAAUUAUGAUAUGAAAUAAAUGAAUUGAAUUGAUUAUUAUACAUUGACUGAUGUGUUCAAAAUGUAAGUUAGACUGAGUUGUUUCGGUAACGUAAUGUUACAUCAUAUAGAGGUGUUCAAAUUUCUUUUAAAACCGAAUUAACUGAUCAAACCAAUCUAAUUUGGUUAAUCGAUUGAUUAAUUGAUCUAAUUGAUCAAUUAAUAAUUUUUUGAAAGUUUAUUUAUUAAUUAAUUCGAUUCAGAAUCAUGUAAUUAAUCAAAUUAACUUAAAUAAAUAAUAUAUAUUAGCAGCCCACCCAAGCCACAGCCACUACCUAGCACAGGCCACACUAACCCAACCUAAAUAAACAUUUAAAAUUCAAUCCAAUCCAAUCCAAAUAAUUAAUUUAAUUAUAAAAUUAAUUUAUAUUAAAUAAAUAUUUUAAUAAAAAAUUGGAAUUCCUGAAAAACUAAAAAUAACUCAGUAACUCACCUAUUUCGAUAUUUUUAAUCUCCCAAAAUUCCUAAUCGCAAAUACCUUCCAUUUGCUAAAGAAGAGGUUCGUGUUUUUUUAAAGACAUUUACUAUCUAUUUACUAAAGAUGUCUAUCUUUGAUAAACCAUCACCAGAGAUCAUGGCCACCCUUAAAAUUGAUGUGAAAGGAGUUACCUUCUCACGUUUAGGGAAAAUUCUCCCAUGCUCUCCAAGCAUGCACACAUGUAUGUUAGGCUACUCUUGUUUACUGUCUUCCAACUAGAGAUAAUUUGGAGAGCAUCUCCCUCAACAAUAAUAGAAUGAUAUCCCAACACGUGCUUAUUCACUCACCCACCAUUCCUCCCUUUUCUUCUAUAAAUCAUGUUCUUCUUGAUUAUUCGUUCCACGCAUUGUUAUUAAAUCAAUGGCUGAGCAGUACAUAGUUGGAGUUGGAGCUGUUAUAGCCCCUCUUUUGGGGUUCCUUUUCUUGUACUGCAAUUCCCUUAUAAGAUUUAGGGGACUGAGGAAGCUAAAAAGGCAGCUUCAAUGGAGUUUCCAAAGGGGAACAGUGUAAAAAAACUGGAAAUAGUGAGGGUGUUGGCAUUACGGAUAUUAUCAUAGUCGGCGCCGGUGUUGCCGGUGCUGCUCUUGCUUAUUCCCUUGGAAAGCUCCCAUUUUUUUCUCCUUGUUCUUUAUUUUGUUCUACCAUGGUUUUAAUCAUCUUAUAUUCCUCUUCCAGCAUAUAACAAUUACUAGUUUCUUUUGGGUAAAAAUACCAUGGUCACCUCUUUCUAGGAGUAAAAUUGUAUAUAAAUUAGUCUCUUUAUAUUAGAUCAAGCAGCAAAUUGAUCAUUUCUAUUCAAAAUUUAAUCUAUUUUUACAGUUAAAAUUGGUGUGGCUGACAGAAUAACAAAAUAGUUACACAUAGCGUGUUAUAUCUUACGCUAACAUAUAGGGACCAAUUUUUAACAGUAGGAAUUGAUGAAUUUUUUAACAGAGGACCAAUUUGCUCUUUGAUCUAUUGUAUAGGGACUAAUUUAUUCAUUUUUUAGUAGAGGAGACAAAUGCAAUCCGACUCUUAGUAUAAGGCCCUCCAUGAUGCUUUUAUCAAUUUUUUUUGAGAAACAAUUACUAAUUAAGUUCGCAUUUUAUUAUUAUUAUUAUUUAUAGACAUUUUAUUAUUAUUGGUUGAAGUAUUAUACGGCAAGAUAAUAUUUCGAUAAAUUAAUUUAAUUUCACGUGAAUCUGUGUUUAUUUUUUUAUAAUAAAUUCAAAUUUUAGUUUGAUGGCAAAAUGAAAUAUUCAAUAUUUUCUUAAACUGGACUGGUUCUGAUUGAGAAUUGAUUAGGGUAUUGAUCCAAAAGAAAUAAAAAAUUACUAGACUCAUGAAUCAGUAUAAUCUAAUUAAAUCGGUGAUUGAAUUUGUUGAUCUGAAUUUUAUAAUUUUUAUUUUCUAAAAUUUUUAAUAAUCUAUUUAACUUAAAUAAGAUAAACAAAUGGAUCGAAUAUAGAUGAGGGGGUGCUUUUAUAUGGGUGACCUGGGCAGAAGCGCCCAUCCAAAUUCUGCACGAACUUAGAAUCGAGUAGACAAAGUUGAGUCCGUGACACAUUACGAGCUUAAGUAUAUUCUUCGACAUAAAUUUUUUUAGCUAACUGGAUAGUAAAAGCAGCAUUAAGUACUCCUAAAAAGAUUUUUUUGUCUUCGAUGAAUCAUCACCAAAUACCAUGAUCACCGAUAUGAAAAAUUCUCUCAUGUACUCAAAACUUACACUCUAUCUGUGCGAAUUGCAGAACUCCCCACAUUUAGUGAUUAUCUUUUUAGGGCCUUGUCCCUCUUUAGUCCCACAAAAUAAAUAAUUUAAUUUGUCUUUUUCCUUUUUUGGUUUCUUUUUGCAAUAAUAAUGCAUCCUUCUUCUUUUUUCCAUAACGUGUGGUGGAGGUACUUCAGUCAUCAAUCAUAUUUUUGCUGGAGAAAUGUCUUCUUCAUUUCAUUAAUCAUUUAGAGCAUAAGCAAUUACAACUUCAUGAAAAAAAAUGGGUAUUCUUCCAUCCACUUUGUUGCGGAAGCGACGAUAAUAUUAAUAACAAUAUUAUCAGAAAUAUUUAGAUAAUUAUUAUGCCAACAAUUAUACUAAGAAAAUUCUCAGUUAAAUUGGAGGGGUCACAAAUGGUCCUACUUAAAACCCAACAACUAGACAGAACUCACUUAGUUAUUUAUAGCAAUAAAAACUAAAUAAAUAUAACCAACAUAAAGCUAUUAAAUAUAAGCAAACAAAUAAGAAAUAAAACACCAGAAUUUAACGAGGUUCGGCCAAUUUAGCUUACGUCCUCGGACACUACCAAAUUAAUAUUUCCGCUAGAAAUAUUACAAAAGAGAAGAUCAACACCAAGUUACAAUUAGCUACUUGGAUUUUCAAAAUGAGAUUUUGGGAUGAUGAAACCUAAGGGGGAGGGGUUCUAUAUAUAACAAACCAAACCCCCUCCCUUUCUAUCUUUUCCUAAUGUGGGAUAUUGCCAAUAUUCAACAAAUCUCCACCUUGGCGAUAUUCCACAUCUUCGAACAUCUUCUCAUAACACAAACUUCAAUAGUGUCUUCAAAUUUGCGCCAACAACGCCAUAUCAAAUGUGUUGGACAUUGAUCAAGUCUAAACAAUGUUCAAACUUGGCCCUUGUAACCACCUUAGUCAGCAUAUCUGCAGGAUUCUCCGUAGUGUGAAUCUUUUGGAGAAGUAUCUCCUCUUCUUCGAGAAUUUCCCGCACAAAGUGAUAGCGAACGUCUAUGUGCUUCGUUCGUGCAUGAAAGACUUGAUUCUUUGCUAAAUGAAUAGCACUCUGACUGUCAGAAUAUACCUUAAGUUGUUUCUGACCAACUUCCAAGUCUUUAAGCAAUCCGUGAAGCCAAAUUGCUUACUUCACAGCCUCUGUAAUUGCCAUAUACUCUGCCUCUGUUGUAGAUAAAGCCACUGUGGACUGUAAGGUAGAUUUCCAACUAACUGGCGCUUUUGCUAAAGUAAACAAAUAGCCAGUUGUAGACCGUCGCUUAUCCAAAUCACCUGCAUAAUUAGAAUCACAAUAUCCAACUAUGCAUUGACCAAGUGAUUCAUCCCGCUCGAAUGCCAAUCCGACAUCUAUGGUAUUUUGGAGAUACCGCAGAAUCCAUUUCACAGCUUGCCAAUGACCCCUGCCCGGAUCAUGCAUGUACUUGCUAACAACACUAACAGCCUGUGAAAUAUCUGGUCUUGUACAUACCAUUGCAUACAUCAAGCUUCCAACUGCAUUUGCAUAUGGGACUUUUGCCAUGUACUCUCGUUCUUCCUUAGUCGUUGGAGAUAACUGGUUACUCAGUUUAAAAUGAGGAGCAAGUGGGGUACUUACAGGUUUUGUACCUUCAGACAUACCGAAACGUUGUAGUACCUUCUCCAAAUACUGUUUUUGUGAUAGCCAAAGUUUUCCCCUCUUUCUAUCCCGAGUUAUUUCCAUGCCGAGAAUCUUCUUGGCUUCCCCUAAAUCCUUUAUCUCAAACUCUUUACUCAACUGAGCCUUCAGUCUAUCAAUCUCCAUUUGGCUCUUUGCUGUAAUCAGCAUAUCAUCAACAUACAAGAGUAAGUAGAUGUAGGAACUAUCUUGAAGCUUGCGCAAAUACACACAAUUAUUGUAUUUGCUUCUUUUGUACUUCUGGUCCUUCAUGAACCUGUCAAAUCGUUUGCACCAUUGUCUCGGAGAUUGUUUCAAUCCGUACAACGAUUUGCUAAGUUUACAGACCCAAUUUUCUUUACCAGCAACCCUGUAUCCAUCUGGCUGAGUCAUAGAGAUUUCCUCCUUCAAAUCAUCGUGUAGAAACGCGGUCUUCACAUCAAGUUGAGCUAGCUCCAAAUUCAACUACGCUACCAAGGCCAACAAAAUUCUAAUGGAGGAAUGUUUAACAACUGGAGAAAAUACCUCAUUAUAGUCAAUUCCCUCCUUCUGAGCGUAGCCUUUAGCCACCAACCUUGCCUUGUAACGAACAUCUUCUUUGUCAGGAAAUCCUUCUUUCUUUGUAAAUACCCAUUUGCAACCAAUCGCCUUCUUCCCUUUUGGUAGUUGUGCCAGCUUCCACGUCUUGUUUUUCUCUAGAGAUUGCAUUUCCUCUUCCAUUGCACCUAACCAUCUAUUAUUCUCUAAACUUUGAAUGGCUUCGGUGUAAGUGGAUGGAAUAUUAUCAACAACUUGAAGUGCAUAAGCUACCAUGUCAAUGAAACGAGCAGGUUUCUGAAUUUCUCGUCUCUGCCUUCUGACUGCAAUUGGCUCUGAUUGUUGUUGAGGUUCUUGGGUAGAAACCUCUUCCUCAUCUGACUCUGCAUCUGCCAAUGAAGAAUCACUAGUGGUACCUUCUGCUGGAAUUACCACACUCCGCUCAAAAUUCACCUGCUGCGGAGUACACUCCACCUGCUGCGAAGUACUACUCACUCCUUCUGGAUUUACCUUAUUCAACAUGGCAGAUUCAUCAAAGGUAACAUCCCUACUGAUUAUCUUCUUCUUUGCCUCUAGACACCACAAACGAUAUCCCUUAACACCAGCAUUGAAGCCCAUGAAUAGAGCCUUCUUUGCUCUUGGAUCUAACUUUGAUUCUUUCACAUGAUAAUAUGCAAUAGAACCAAAAAUACGCAAGGUGUCAUAAUCAGUAGCAGGUUUUCCAUACCAUUCCUCCAAAGGAGUCUUGCCAUUUAUAGCAAAUGAUGGCAAAUGAUUGAUGAGAUGUUGAGCGUACGUCACAGCCUCAGCCCAAAACUUUCUAUCUAAUCCAGCAUUAGAUAACAUACAUCGAACUUUCUCCAUAAGCGUUCGAUUCAUACGCUCUGCCACCCCAUUCUGUUGCGGUGUUCCACCUACGGUGAAGUGCCUUACUAUGCCACAAUCUUGGCAUAUCUUCAGGAAUGGAUCGCUUUUAUAUUCUCCACCGUUGUCUGAUCGGAGAACCUUAAUCUUCCUUCUUGUCUGUUUUUCAACUUUAGUUUUCCACUUAAGGAAAACUUCAAGCACCUCAUCUUUGUUCUUCAUAGGAAACACCCAAACUCUUCUGGAAAAAUCAUCAAUAAAGGUGACAAAAUAACGUCUUCCUCCAAGUGAUGGAGUCUUGGACGGUCCCCAUACAUCAGAAUGCACAUAAUCUAGAAUACCUUUGGUAUUGUGAAUCCCAGUGCCAAAUUUCACCCUUCGUUGUUUUCCCAGAACACAAUGCUCGCAAAAUUCAAGUUUGCAAAUCUUUGUACCUUUCAAUAAUCCUUGCUUGGCUAGAGUUUGCAAGGAUUUUUCACCAGCAUGGCCCAAACGCAUAUGCCACAGCUGUGUUGCCUCAGCGUCCUUCUUGGUACUCGAAAUUGCUGCUGCUGUUGUCCCGACCACUGUACUACCUUGGUAGUAAUACAGAUUGUUCUUUCUUAUGCCUUUCAACAUCACCAAUGCUCCUGAAGUUGCUUUAAGAACUCCAUCUCGUAUUGUCACAACUAGGCCUUUAGAUUCUAAAGACCCCAAAGAGAUGAGAUUCUUCUUCAACUUUGGGAUAUAUCGUACAUCCCGUAAAAUUCUAGUAGAUCCAUCAUGAUUCCUCAGUUUAAUUGAAUCUAUCCCGACUGUUUUACAUGUGUUAUCAUUACCCAUGUAAACAACCCCUCCAUCUAGUUUUUGAAAUUCAAAGAACCAUUCCCAAAUGGGACACAUAUGAUAGGAACAACCAGAAUCCAUGAUCCACUCAUCUGCAUGUGGUGUUGAAGAUGACAUCCUAAGAGAAAAGUCUGACUCUGCUUCACUAUUGCAUUCUGCAACAUUUGCAUCUUACGGAGUCUUCCCUUUUUUCUUCAAUUUUGGACAAUCUUUCUUCCAAUGUCCUUUUUCUUUGCAAAAGGAACAUUCAUCUUUGGCAACAGCUCAACCUUUGGACUUUCUUCUCUUCCCCUUAGACUGACUUUGCUAACGACCUCUUGUUACCAAUGCUUCCACUGCUGCUUCACCUGAACCUUUCAACUUAUCCUUUCGGCGUAGUUCAUAGCUAUACAAUGCAGCAGUUACUUCAUUGAAAGUUAGUUCCGACUUUUCAUGAAGUAAAGUAGUUUCAAGGUACUCAAACUCCUCAGGAAGCGAUCCCAACAACAUUAACGCCAAGUCUUCGUCUUCAAAAGUCACAUCCAAAUUCAACAAAUCAGCCACCAGCUGAUUAAAAUUGGUAAUGUGCUCGUUCAUCGUGGUACCAGGAACAUAACUGAAACGAAACAGUCUUUUCUUCAUAUGCAACUUAUUUUGACUGUUCUUCUUCAGGAAUUUCUCCUCCAAUGCUUUCCACAAUUUACUUGCAGAAGUCUCUUUACUGAAUGUAUACUUCUGCUCUCUGGAAAGACAUGAUCGAAUUGUACCACAUGCCAAUCGGUUGAUGGUCUUCCAUUCUUUAUCAUCAACCCCUUCUGAUUUUUCUUCUUCAAUGGCAAUAUCUAGACCUUGUUGAAAGAGGCCAUCUAGAAGCUCACUUUGCCACAUGCCGAAAUGACCUGUUCCAUCAAAAAUUUCCACUGCAAAUCUCGUAUUUGCAGUUCCAACCCUCGACAAAAUGUACGAGGUGGAAGUUGUUGAUGUUGAUGAUUUUUCUUCUGUCAUUUUUGCUAUAGCUUCUAUUUAAUAGCCACCAAAUGCGGAAUACCCACAAGCUUUAGGAAAUGUUUCUGAUGUGUAAGAUCAGACUAAGCUGCAAACACAUAGCAUACUACAAAACCUUGGCUCGGAUAUCAAUUGUUGCGGAAGCGACGAUAAUAUUAAUAACAAUAUUAUCAGAAAUAUUUAGAUAAUUAUUAUGCCAACAAUUAUACUAAGAAAAUUCCCAGUUAAAUUGGAGGGGUCACGAAUGGUCCCACUUAAAACCCAACAACUAGACAGAACUCACUUAGUUAUUUAUAGCAAUAAUAACUAAAUAAAUAUAACCAACAUAAAGCUAUUAAAUAUAAGCAAACAAAUAAGAAAUAAAACACCAGAAUUUAACGAGGUUCGGCCAAUUUAGCUUACGUCCUCGGACACUACCAAAUUAAUAUUUUCACUAGAAGUAUUACAAAAGAGAAUAUCAACACCAAGUUACAAUUAGCUACUUGGAUUUUCAAAAUGAGAUUUUGGGAUGAUGAAACCUAAGGGGGAGGGGUUCUAUAUAUAACAAACCAAACCCCCUCCCUUUCUAUCUUUUCCUAAUGUGGGAUAUUGCCAAUAUUCAACACACUUAACAUCAUCACUAUAUUGCAAAAAUUCCUUAGCUUUCAUACUUGCCAAUGCUUCUGUAUUUUUCCGAAAUUAAAUUGUAAUGCACCAAAAGAAAUCGUCUAUCUCUACUUUUAGUUAAAUUUAAAUGAAAUACGAAAGGACACAAAAAAUAAUUGCCUACAUAAAUAUAUUACUUUUGUAGAGGUUAUAUUUAUGAUCUAUAUAGUAUAAUGUUGGGGUAAACUUGAGUUAAGCAACGAAUAAGAAUAAAUAGAGAAAAAUCGGAUACAAAUAUUUACUUGAAAAAACUCAUUUUAAGAGGAUAAAAAAUCACGGGUAAAAAAAACUUCACUAGAAUGGCAAAUAAUUGAAGAGGAGUACAAGAUAGAGAAACAAAAAACAAACCCAAACUCAAAAAUACAAAGUUCUUCCAAAAUUUCCAAAAAACUCUCUCUUAAUUAUGUUGUUGAAUUGAUCUCUCUAGUGUUGCUAAAAGCCCUAUUUAUAGGCUAAAAUCUAUGUGAAAAUAUGACUAAAACAUCUUUAGAAUAAUUAGAGUUAGACUAGAAAAAGAUAACAGAGUUUAAUUAGGAGAUAAAAUUCGGUUUAGUAGAGAACACGUCGUGACAUGGCGUACAUUGCCUUGUCGAGACAUCAUUUUUCGCAUCGUCAAGACAUUGUCUCUUUCUAGUCCCGACGUCAACCUUAUUUCAUCUAAAAUGCGAGUCACGCUCUACAUAUAAUAAUACUAAUAUCAUAUUUAAGAGUUUAUGAGGUAUAGAUGAGAUGGCCCAAAUGAGAUUUGCAAAUCACAAUAAUUUAAAAUGUUUGAUAUUGAAACAUAUUGUAAACAUAAUUAAAUACUAUACACAUAUUGAAAUAUCUUAUUUGUCAAUUGUGGUGAUUAUUAUAUGCCAUUGCACGCUUUUCUUCUAUAAAUGAUGUUCUUCUUGAUUAUUCGUUCCAUACAUUGUUCUUAAAUCAAUGGCUGAGCAGUACAUGGUUGGACUACUUGGAGGUGUUAUAGCCUCUCUUUUGGGGUUUGUUUUCUUGUACUGCAAUUUCCUAAUCAGAUUUAGGGGACUGAGGAAGCUAAACAGAGCAGCUUCGAUGGAGUUUCCAAAGAAAAACAGUGUAAACAAAACUGGAAAGAGUGAGGGUGUUGGCACUACGGAUAUUAUCAUAGUCGGCGCCGGUGUUGCCGGUGCUGCUCUUGCCUAUUCUCUUGGAAAGGUCUCAUAAUUUAUCCUUUUUUCUUUAUUUUGUUCUACCAUUGCUUAAUCAUCUUAUUUUCCUCUUCUAGCAUAUAACAAUUACUAAUUUUUUUAGUAAAAGUAUUAUAGAGGUUCCUAGUAAAGUUUCUGUAUUAAGAGUUACAUUGCAUUUUGUCCCUUUUACCUAAAAAAUAGCCAAAUAAGUUCUUGUAGGUUAGAUUAAAUAACAAACUAGUAUUUUCUGUUAAAAAUUUCAUCCAAUUCUACUAUUAAAAAUUGGCGUGGUUGAUGGUAUAACCAGACAGUUACACACAGUGUAUCAUGUGUACCUCAUGCAAAUGUAUAGGAACCAAUUUUAAAUAGUAGAAAUGGAUAGAAUUUUUAACAAAGAACUAGAUUGCUCUUUAAUCUAACGGGACUAAUUUAUUAUUUUUUUAAAUUGAGAGACAAAAUACAAUCCGAUUCUUAGUACAAAAACCUCCAUGAUACUCUUACCAAUUUUUUUGAAAGGAACAAUUACUAAUUAAGUUCGUAUUUUAUUAUUAUUGGUUGAAGUGUUAUAUGGGAAGAUAAUAUUUCGAUAACUUAAUUUAAGUUCACGUGGAUCUGUGUCGAUUUUUUAUAAUAAAUUCAAAUUUUAAUUUGAUGGUAAAAUGAAAUAAUCAAUGUUGUUUGAAAUUGGAUCGGUUCAAAUCAGGAAUUGAUUUAAAGUACUUGUUUUAAUAAUUUAUUUGAUUUAAAUAAGAUGAACGGAUCGAACUGAAAAUCAAUGAUUUAAUUAGUUCAACUACUGAUUCUAUUUAAAAAUAAUAACUAAAAAUAUAUAUUUGACUUUUUUUCUAAUUGAUAACGGUGCAAUAUCAAGUAGUAGUUAAAAAAUAUAAAAUCUAUUUUGACAGUCCAAUUUGAUUUUAUUUAAUAUAAAUGCAUGUAAUUUAAAAUAUAAAAUUGUAAAAUGUAAUUUAAGCGCAUUUGGAUAUUUGAUAAUAUUUACUUGUAGAAAUUUUUUUUGAAAGGUUUAUUAUUACAAAUAGAGUAAAAUGUAAAAGUAUAAUAUAUGCUAGCUCAAGUAAUUAUAGUGUAGAAUUAAACUUGUAAAUAGACAAAAAGAAAACAAUUAGAAAGAAUCUAAAUAAAAAACAUACAUGGUAUACACACAUGAUAGAAUUAGAGAUUUACAUUUCGCAAUUGCGCGUGAAAGAACUCAAACUCGGGUGCUUAAGAACCCAUAGUCUUUGCAUUAAGCAACAAUGCCAAGAUCACAAUGGCAUUCAAAUUUGGAUUUCACUGUGAUACCAUAUGUAACAAUUCUUAAUAACUUACAUUUUACAGGAUGGACAUCGAGUGCGAGUGAUAGAAAGGGACUUAAAUGCGCCUAAUAGAAUAGCCGGUGAAAGUCUAACACCAGGGGCUACUUAAAGUUAAUUGAAUUACGCCUUGAGGGUAAACAAGAAAAAUCAUCUAUUUAAAUAGUAGAUGUAAUAUAAUGUUAUAACGUUAUUUCUUUAUAUAAUUAUUUAUUUUACUUUGAGUGUUGGUUCUAUAGAUUGUGUAGAUGAGAUAGAUGCGCAACGGCUUUUAGGUUAUACUCUAUACAAGGAUGGAAAGGAGGCUCGCGUAUCUUUUCCUUUGGAAAAGUUUCAAUCUCAUGUUGCAGGAAGAACAUUUCAUAAUGGUCGUUUCAUUCAAAGGUUGAGGAAAAAAGUUGCCUCUCUUCACAAGUACUUUCUCUCCCUCCUCUCAAUCAUUCUUCAAUAUCAAAAUAAGAUGCCAGAACAUUUUAUCUCAAAAGGAUUAAGUGAUUUGUAGUUUGUUUUAACUCAUUGCUCCUGUUUAGACCUGUCAAUUGAGCUACUCAAAUCGAUUUUGGGUCAAGUCAAUCUAGAUCGAGUCAUUCUAGUUCUAAAUUUUUUUUGUGUAAAUUCGGUUUUAGUGAGCUUAGAUUCAAGUCAUUUCAGGUUUGGGUUAAAUUUUGGUUUGGACCGUUACAGGUUUGGAUUCGAGUCCUUUUGGGUUUAGGUCAAUAGGGCUUGAAGCUCAAGUUUUUAAAGUCAACUCAUGAUAGGUUCAUGUCAUUUUAAGUUAUAGUCACCUCGAUUUUUUAUAUUUUCAAGUUACUUAUUUGGAUCAUUUCGGGUUUGAGUGGUCAAUUUAUGUUAGGGUAAAACGAGGUUUGGUUUAGAGGGAUUCAUGUUGUUGACCAUUUAUAGUCAAAUCAAGCCAAGUUUAGGUUUGAAUUGAUCAAGUUAUAUUUUAGGCUUAAGUUACACUGACAAGUUCACUUCUACUUGUAUUAACUUGUUACAACAAUUUAUUAGAAAGAGUACAUUUGAAAUUAUACUUUUUCUUUACAAGAUCCAAUUUGAUGCUUUGAUGUUAUGAUAAUGUAGCGUAAGUUUAGAACAAGGGACAGUAACAUCUUUGAUUGAAGAAAAUGGUAUUGUCAAAGGAGUGCACUACAAAAAUGGGAAUGGUAAACUAUUGACAACUUACGCUCCUCUCACCAUUGUAUGUGAUGGUUGUUUCUCAAAUUUGAGACGCUCUCUUUGCUAUUCUAAGGUGAAAAUGCUUAGAAAUUCUUGUUAAAUUUGUUCAAUUAUGGUUUUUAUCUCUCUAUUAUGCUAAAAUUAUAUAUUUAUCAUUCUACUUUAUUUUGAUUUAAUUUAAAUCUAUUUAUUUUUAUAAUGUUAUUGUAUGUCCAAAUUGAUAAUAUUAUUAGUUGCUUUUUAACAAAUGAUACCUACUAAUAACAUUGAGAGAUCAUUUUUUUUCCAAAUUAAAGCAAAAAGAUUAAAUUCUGAUUUUAGGAUAAUAGAGGGACUAAUCCUAAAUUCUACGCUUUGAGAAAAUAAAUUAAGGUCUAUAGUUUUUUUUCUGCAGGUUGAUAUACCCUCUUAUUUUGUUGGUCUUACACUGACAAACUGUAACCUUCCAAAAGAAAAUUAUGGAGCUAUUAUAUUAGCACACCCUUCAGCAAUCGUAUUUUACCAAAUUAGCAGCACUGAAGUUCGUUGCAUGGUGAAUGUUCCUAGUGAAAACGUACCUUCAGUUUCCAAUGGUGAAAUGGCAUGUUACUUGAAAACUCAGGUGGCUCCCAAGGUAUAUUUAGAUCUUUCUUUUAUUCAUUCAUUAGGGGAAUUUGGCUUAAUUUAUGGACGAACUGUAUGGCUUAUAAUACAUUUCAGGUUGUUGGUGCAAGAGGCAGCAACAAAAGAGAGAACAAGAGCACAGAACAUGAAGCAAGGUGCAAGAAGCAUUUUUACUUGCUCACAAAUGUGCAGCAAGGGAGCUAAUGGCUGAUAGCUCAUUCAGCUCAUUCAUUCAACUAGAAAAAACAUACAUUUAUAGUCAAAUACAUCACCAAAUAGUCAACUAACCCCACUAAUCAGCAUUGAGACUAUUAAAACAUUGCUUGUACACAUAAACAAGCCACCUAAACUAGUCAUUCAACACCUAAUGCAUCAAGUUGUCAUCAACUUGUCCAUUUUAAACUAGAUUAAUUAGAAUGAAACUAAAGAGAAACCUUGCUGUUACAGCAAGCAUAUGUGCUGCAGCAUGUCAUCAAGCUGCAUGCACUUCAACCACAAAAUGUAACAGCAGCAUGGUUGGCCAAUUUCCAAUACUCCUCCUUGGACUCCAUGCUGCAAAUACCAGUCAUUCAUCAAGUUUUUUGAACUUGGCAGCUCUUAGAUGCUUUGAUUCAAGCUGACCAAUUCAUUUUCUUCUUGCACAAACAGUUCGUGAGUAUAGUUGCUUGCCUUCAUUCUGCCAUUUUGGCUUGCAAUUCGACAGGCUCACACUUUGCUUACUGUCUUCAAGAGGCUUGCAACUAUACAACACGCAUUGAGCUUCCACAUGUUGCUGAGCUCACACCUUUGACAGACUCACAUCUUUGCAUAUUGUCUUCAACAGGUGUCUUCAUCAGGCUCGCACUUUGCUAAGCUUGCAGCUUUGACAUCUUGCUAAGCUUGCACAUUUGGAAAGCUCACACCUUUCCUUUAAACUCCUCCUUCAGCUUAUUCAAGCUAGUUUGGGGAUCUUAUAAGUUUGAGCCGAUAUUAUCUUCUCUACAAGCAGUCCUUAAUGACUUGCUUGUGCUUUGACAGCUUCUUUCUUUUCAACAAGCAGGGGAAGCAAAAUCAAUGGUCCCGUAAGACAUAGGCUCAUGAUACCAAUUGUUGGUGCAAGAGGCAGCAACAAAAGAGAGAACAAGAGCACAGAACAUGAAGCAAGGUGUAAGAAGCAUUUUUACUUGCUCACAAAUGUGCAGCAAGGGAGCUAAUGGCUGAUAGCUCAUUCAGCUCAUUCAUUCAACUAGAAAAAACAUACAUUUAUAGUCAAAUACAUCACCAAAUAGUCAACUAACCCCACUAAUCAGCAUUGAGACUAUUAAAACAUUGCUUGUACACAUAAACAAGCCACCUAAACUAGUCAUUCAACACCUAAUGCAUCAAGUUGUCAUCAACUUGUCCAUUUUAAACUAGAUUAAUUAGAAUGAAACUAAAGAGAAACCUUGCUGUUACAGCAAGCAUAUGUGCUGCAGCAUGUCAUCAAGCUGCAUGCACUUCAACCACAAAAUGUAACAGCAGCAUGGUUGGCCAAUUUCCAAUACAGGUUCUUCCUGAAUUGUACGAUUCCUUUAUAUCUGCAAUACAGAAGAAGGGUAACAUAAGAAUAGCGCCGAAUAAAAUCAUGGCUGCUGCUCCACACCUGACUCCUGGUGCGCUUUUGAUUGGAGAUGCACUCAACAUGCGGCACGCUAUAACCGGAGGGGGAAUGACUGUUGCUCUGUCUGAUGUCGUAAUACUUAGGGAUCUUCUAAGACCCUUGCAUGAUCUAUCCGAUGCAUCCACCAUUUCAAAAUAUCUCGAAUCUUUUUAUACCCUGAGGAAGGUAUUGUAGUUUCAUGUUUUAUAUGCAUUUUGAAAGUGAAUGGCAAUGAUGAAAACGGUAUAAUUUUGCCCUUUAACUACAUGCAGCCAAUGUCAUCUACACUAAAUAUACUGGCUAAUGUCCUACAGAAGGUAUUCAGUGCCUCGUCCAAUCCAGCAAUGAAGAAUCUGCAGCACACCUUUUUGGGGUAUUUGAGACUUGGAGGGAUGUUUUCAUAUGGAGCAUCCGCUAUGCUCUGUGGUUUAUGCCCUUCUUCAUUAAGCUUAGCAUUUCAUUUCUUUUCCAUUGCAAUAUAUGGCGUUGGCCGAUUGUUACUUCCAUUUCCUUCUCCCAGGCGUUUGUGGGAUGGGGCUAAAUUCCUUUGGGUCAGUAUCUUUACCAAACAUUUAUAUAAUAACAUGAUAUAAAUAUAUAAGAUCUUAAAUAUGAUUAUUAUAUAGAAUCAUAUUAAUAAAAAUAUUUUCAUGUUUUUCAGAUGGCAUCAAGUGUUCUUCUCCCCUACAUAUACUCUGAAGGAACCAGACAAAUGUUCUUCCCUCUAACUGUGCCAGCAUAUUAUAGAACUCCCCCUGAAAAUAAGGACAAAAAAAACUUCAUGCAAUAAUUAGCAGCAUUUGUUGGAACAAUUCUAUGUUCAUAACACAAUCUCAUACAUCUGUUACUUGCAUUCUUAAGUAGGUCUUAAGACAAUUGGACGCAUGUGUAGAGACAAUGACGCAUCAAAGCUAAAAUAAGAAAAUAGAUAAGGUAAGUCUCGAGAGACAUUAAUUAUUAAUUGUUGUAUAUUGAUUUAAAUGUUUAUGGUAAGUAAAUAAGGUAAGUGUUAGCAUUUUUUAUAUUGAAUUGAAUGUAUGUGAAAUUGCGAUUUAUGUGAUAAUUGAGUAUUGGAUAAUUAUGGCAUUAGAAAAGUGAACUAAAACUCUGUUAACUGUAUCGGGCUGAGUUGGAUAUAGAUGGCAUGCCAUAGGAUUAGAAGAGUUUAGGGAUACUUCGACUUAGAGUCGAUGAGACACUGGGUGUCAAAUUAUUACUUCGGAUAAAUUCGAUGAAAUACUGGGUACCAAUUUACUUCUGCAUGGCCGAUGAGACAUUGUGUGUCAACUUAUUGCUUCGAAUUAUCCGAUGAGGCACUGGGUGCCAAACUGGUGUGUUUUGGUUGGAUUCGUGUAUCCGUCCGAGUCCGUGUCAUGUUAAUAGGGGUUACUGAAUAAAAUAGUGUUAUGAUUGAUAUUGAGUGGUGAUUUGAAAUAUGGUUAGAGACACAUGAUUUGUGUAUUUAUGAAUUGAAUAUGAAUGAACAAUAUUGUUGUUCAAAUGAUUUGUGUUCAUAUUGUGAAAAGCAAUCUGGGAUAGCAAAUGAUAAAAUUUGAAUGUGUUAUAAAUAUCUUAUUUAUGAAUUGAAUAAUUGUAUGGCUAUAGUUAUUGUAUGUUAUAUUAUUUUACUUUUAAGCAUUUGGAUUAUAAAAAUACCACUGAAUUUAUACUCAGCAUACGGUUUAUUUUCCGUGCGCAGGUUAGGUUAAAGUCAGAUUGUCGAUUCAGCAUCCAUCAACGAUCCCGAGCUUAAAACGUGGUGAUGUAUAUUUCUUUUUGUGUCGGCAUGUACCUAGGAUGUCUUAUGCUUGUCAUUUUGGGAAGUGAAUGUAAAUGAUGUUAUAAGAUGAUAUUGGUUACUUAUAUACAUAAUUAUACGUGUUAAGUUGAGGUUUAAUGUGGAAUGUUUAAGUUGAUGCAUAAGUGAAUGUGAUAUAGGCAAAUUUGGGUUGAAAUUGGUAUGAAUUUAGAAUUGGAUUAAUUGGUGUUUUAUUUGAUUGUUUUGAUAAUAUAUGUGAAGUACCUAUGAUGGUACAUUGGUUAGGAAACUAGGAUGAUUGUUUUGACAUGUUUUAAAGUGAUUGAACCAUUGGUUUUUUACUUGCUUGGUGUUCAAGGUUGCAGGGAAGGGUAAACUUGAUGUUUAAGGUUCAUUUUGUGUCCACACUGCCAGACACACGGGUGUGUGGCUGGACCGUGUGAGACGCACGGCUAACACAUAGGCGUGUGUCCCCUGUUUCUUUGAAAAUUUUUUAUGUUUUCGAAAAAAAUUCCUGGAGUACUAUUUGAUUUAGUCCCGAUUUGUUUCUAACACAUAUUUUAAGCCUCGAGGGCUCAUAAAAAGAACAAUGUGAUUAAAUUAUAUGUUGUGUAUGCUAGAUGAUUAUAUAAUGUUCAUAUUUGAUCUGAAAAGUCCGAUAUGCUCCGUAACCCUGUUUCGGUGACGGAUAAGAGUUAGGGAGUGUUACACCCUCUUUCCAUUCUUCCACUUUUCCACUCAACUAAGCACACCUUAAGGGUGUAUAUGGGUGAGAGAUUUGUAGGAGGGCUUCAUUUAAAUUAAGGUUUCAAAAGUCUAAAAAUGAAUUUACCUUUUUCGGGUAAAUAUAUUGAAGAAUUUAAAAUUUUGUGAGUAAUUUCAAGAAUGAAUUUUAAUAGCUCAAAUUCCUUUUUUAAUUCCGCUUAAAUAGGUGGUUUUUCAAAAUCUCUAACAAUUUUAAUUGAUUUAAUACACAUGGUUCGGCUAUAAAAUAAAAACUUAAACCUCAAAAUUUAUUUUAUUUAAUUAUAAUAUAUUUUUUAAAAUUUUAUUGUAUUAAAGUUAUUUAUAAAUUUUUACAAAUAUAAUGAUUUUCAUAUUGAAUAUUGUUUAUAUUAUUUAUAUUUAAUAUAAUUAUUCUUUUUAUAAUUAUUUUCUAAUUUGUAAAAUUCCAUUAACCUAAAUUUUUUUGUAAACCAAUUAUUUACCCCAACAAAAUAACCACAAAUACUAGCAUUUUAAAUAAUCUAAAAAAAUUCUAAUUAUAGGUCUCGAUCAUAUAUGCUCUUUUUGACACAAUGCCUAGAACUACCCAUAGUCCCUCCCCAGCUCAUAGAUAAAAGGAUAAUACGUUUCAGCAGACUCGAAAUCACGUCUUUCUCCUCAUGCCAAUUGAAUUAAGGUUCAAUCGACAAUUCGAUACAAAUUUAAAUAUAUAUAUUUUUUAUAUUUAUGUCAUAUGUUUGCUAUUUUUAUUGUGAAAUUAUUUUAAUUCUGGUUAAAAUUAUUUCGCUUUAAGAUAAUUUAUAUGUUGUAAUUAUAUUUAAUAAAUAUUAUUUAUAAAUUACAAGAAAUAAAAAUAUAUUAUUAAAUGCAAGUAGUUUGAAUUGCGCGGAGUGCGGCUACUUAUAUUCAACCAUCUAUCACAUCUGUUUGAAAUAAAAGAAAAUAAAAUUGUUUUUUUUGAAAAAUUAAAUUGAGUUGUCCUUUUCUCUUUGAUUUUCUCUUUGUCUUUUAGCAAUAAUAGCUUUUCAAGGCUUAAUUUAAUAAGACGAACCCGGGUUGGUUUAGUUUUUUAAAUUACCUUUUCAUCGGUUUGAAUAUUUAAUAGGCUUAAUUUAGUUGGCAAGUUCUUAAGCUUGGUGGUAAUGGGUUUGAAUGAAGGAAUUCUAGUUGUCAAUCUUUGCUUUCACUUUCUCCUAAAUCAUCUACUUGCUAGAUGGUUUUGGUGCAGAACAAAUGAAAUUCAUAUUCGUUUAUGUGAAUAAAAUAAUCGUUUAUUUUUUCAAAAUGCGUAAAUAUUUUGAUUUUCAUAAAAUAUAACUUUAUGAAAAAAAAAAAACUCAACUAUUACAUGUGAAAUUUAAAUUAAAUUAGGAAGGACCAACAAUUGAUUGCUCAUAUAAAUAUCUUAUUUUUUCAGAUUUUUUUUUUCCGAUUCGGAUUCAUCUCUCGUGAUAAAAGUUGAAGUAAAAUUAUUAGUUAUUAAGGUGGAGGCUCGUUCUCACCUGUGCAAAGGGAUAAGCCACUGACAUGACAGCAUCCACAACAGAUGACAAAUAAAAAAUUUAAAGGCGUGAAGUACAAAAACAGGCGCUGCUUCUUCACUCACCAUUCAUUGGACCCCUUUCUUAAAUAAAUGCUGUUCUGCUUGAUUAUCCUUUCCAUACAUUGUUCUUAAAUCAAUGGCUGAGCAGUAUAUAGUUGGAGUUGCAGGUGUUAUAGCCUUUCUUUUGGGGUUUGUUUUCUUAGUGAGAUCUUGGGGGCUGAGCAAGCUGAAAAGAGCAGCUUCAAUGGAAUUCCCAAAGGAAAACUGUGUAAACAAAAAUGGAAAUGGUGAGGGUGAGGGUGAGGCAGUUGGCACUACGGAAAUUAUCAUAGUCGGUGCUGGUGUUGCCGGUGCUGCUCUUGCCUAUUCUCUUGGAAAGGUCCCAAUUUUUACGCUCCUUUAUUUUAACUUUAUAGUAUCAAGUUCGGAGUUGGGAUAAUAAUAGUAACCAACUUUAAAGGUAGGUUUGGAUGAGCGAUUGAGUGCAGUGCGGUGUGUUUAGUUUAUUUUUUGUCUCACGCUACAGUGUCUAAUAUUACCACCACCGCUGUUUUUACACUAACCGCAGGUAAAUGCACCGCCCAUCCAAACUCAUCCUAAAAAGAUAAUUUUCAGUGGCCAAGCCACUAAGAGAUUCGGGGAGUCAAGGCCAAAGGUCUAAAAUUUUUCAAUUUCUUUUUUAUAUACAUGUAAUGUAAUCACCCUCCUAAAUAUAAAAAUAGAUUUUUCUAAUAUUUUUAUAGUAUUAUAAAUAAUAUUAAAAUAUUUUUUAUUAUGAAAAUUGUUAAAAUAAGAUUUCGCAACAAAGUAGAGGAUAAGUUUCUUAUAAAUAAUCUUGUUCUUUAUUUUAAGAGAUGUUGCCGAAACUUUUAAUCUAAACUCUAUAUUUAAUGAUUUUAUUUUUUUUGAAAGAACAUCGUGCACUAAUCAUAUGCUAUUUCUUCUUGAUUGUUCUUUUUAAAUAUGUAUUUAUAUAAUCUUUUUUAAUUUAUAUAUAUUUAGAAAUAUAAUAUGGAACAAAAAUUUUAUAUAAUUCUUUGUAGUGUAAUUAACAUAAAUAAUAUUUGUUAUAAUAUUUUUUUCGUAGCACGUCUAAUUUUAGCUUGGCUCUUUCAAGAUUAAUAUCCUGAUUCUGUCACUGUUCAUUAUUUUAAAAUAAAUAUAAAAGAUACUUUAAUAUAUGUCAAACAAUAAAAUAAAGAAUUGAAAUUCCAUCUUAGGGUCUGUUUGAUUGACGUAAUUGAUUUUUCGGAAAAUCAUUUCUAACUUUUCCAGCGUUUGAUUGGCGGAAAACAUUUUCCAUUUGGAAAAUGAACUCCAAAAAAAGGGAAAAUGGGUUACAUUUUAGGGAAAAUGUCUUACCCUUUCAAUUUCCGUAAGACAUUUUCCGUGCUCUCCUCUCUAUCGCCUCCUUCAUUCCUUCCUUCAUUUUCGGUAGAAAAUUGCUUCUGUUUAUCGAUUUUUCAGUAACUUCUUUUUUUUAAUUAUUCAAUACUUGUUUUUUUAACACAAUUACAAAUAAUUUAUUUGAUAUUAGUUUUUUUCAAUCUAUAACGAUUAAUAUUGUAGCUUAAUAAUUGAGUAUUAUUAUAAAUAAAUCAUUGCAAUAUAUGUAAAAACAAUUUAAAAUAUAAAAAUUUAUUAAUACAUAUUAAUAUAUGCAAAAACAACUUUUCCGGAAAAUAUUUUCAGAAAAUCUGCCAAAUAGCAAAAAAUAUUUUACACAGAUUCAAUCAAACACCAGAAAAUAUUUUCCAGUAAAUCAUUUUACAGAAAAGUAAAACAUUUUCCAGAAAUCAUUUUACGGAAAAUAUUUUACUGGCAAUCAAACAGACCUUAAUUAUAUUUAAUGUAGAAAUACAUAUAAAUAUUUACUAAAUAGAGAUUUUUAAAAAUAUUGUAGAGGUGGAGAAUGCUCCAUUUAGCGUCAAUUAACAUCAGUUUCUGUCUUCAAGUUUUCAUAAGAUCCUUGAAAAAUGGAUUUAACUAUGAUGUUAUACCUAAUAAUUUUUUUAUAAUUAUAUAUUGCAGGAUGGAUGUCAAGUGCAAGUGAUAGAAAGAGACUUAAAUGCACUUAAUAGAUUUGCUGGCGAAUUAUUAAUGCCAGGAGGCUACCUCAAGUUAAUUGAAUUAGGCCUCGUAGGUAAAUAAGAAAAUUAAUGGAAUAUAAUGUUACAAUGAUAUUUCUUUGUAUAUUUUUAUUUAUUUAUUUUACAUUAAAUGUUGGCAAUACAGAUUGUGUAGAUGAGAUUGAUGCUCAACAAAUUUUAGGUUAUACUCUAAACAAGGAUGGAAAGGAGGCUCUCAUAUCUUUUUCAUUGGAAAAGUUUCAGUCUCAUGUUGUAGGAAGAACCUUCCAUAAUGGUCGUUUCGUUCAAAGACUACGAAAGAAAGCCGCAUCUCUUCACAAGUACUUUCUCUCCUUCCUCCCAAUCAUUCUUUAAUUUCAAUAUAAUAUUUUAGAACAUUUAUCUUAAUGGAUUAAAUGACUUGUAGUUGUUUUGAUCCAUUACUUCUAUUUAGACCUAUCAAUUGAGCUCAUUCAGUUGAUUUUGGUUUGAUCAAUCUAGAUAAAUCACUCAAGUUUUUAAACUAACACAUCAUUUUGGUUUUUAUCACUUUAGGCUAAGGAUUAUUUUGGGUUCAGAUCAUUUCAUGUGUAGAUUUGAGUCAUUUUGGGUUCAAACAUUAGAGCUCCAGGUUAUAAUUUUUUGAGUCUGGUCAUUACAAUUUAAUAUCGUUUUGGUUCUAGUCACUUCGAGUUUGGGUCCUUUCAAGUUAAUUUUUGAAUCAUUUUGGGUUUGAGUUGUUUUAAGUUCAAGCUAGUUUGGGUUAGGGUAAAUUUUUGUUAAAGUUGGAGGGACUCAAAUUGUGGACCCUUUAUAGUCAAAUCAAAUUGGAUCAAAUUUAAGUUCCAAUUGGUCGAGUCAAAUUUUUAAAUUCAAGUCAAAAUUGACAUGUUUGGUUCUUUUACUAUACUUUGUUUCAACUUGUUUUAAUCAGAAAUUAUGCCUCUCUUUACAAGCUCCAAAUUCAUGUUUUGAUGAUAUGAUAACGCAGUGUAAGUUUAGAACAAGGGACAGUAACAUCUCUACUUGAAGAAAAUGGUAUUGUCAAAGGAGUGCACUAUAAAGAUAAGAGUGGUCAAUUGCUAACAGCUUAUGCUCCUCUCACCAUCGUCUGUGAUGGUUGUUUCUCGAAUUUGAGACGCUCUCUCUGCCAUUCUAAGGUGAAAAAAAUGCUUACAUAUAUACUCUUGUUAAAUUGGUUUAAUUCUUAUUUUAGUCACUCUAUAACGUUAAAAAUUUGAGAUUUAGUCCUAUUUUAUUGUGCCAUAAUUUGAUUCCAUUAUUUUUGUGAUGAUAUUAGUAUGUCAAAAUAGAUCAGUUGCUUUUAUUAAAGAAUUGACUCAUUUUUUGGUCAUAUAGUCCAGGUCACAUUGAAAUCAAGUCAAUUAGGUUGAACCAAUAAUGAAAUUACAUGUUACUCGAAUGUUAGUUAGUUUUAAUAGAAAUCUAUGUCAUUAUUUCAAUGUAACAAUUAACGAUGUCAUCAAUUUGGGCCUACAAUAAAAGUAGAGAGACUAAAUUUUGCCAAAUUGAAAUAGAGGAAUAAAAUUCCAAUUUCAGCUUGGUAGAGGGAUUAAAACCAUAAUUAGACUUAAAUAUGCUUUGAGAAAAUAUACAUAUAAAGGUCUCGAUUGUUUGUGCAGGUGGAUAUCCCCUCUUAUUUUGUUGGUUUUAUCUUGACGAACUGUAAACUUCCAAAAGAAAAAUAUGGAGCUCUUAUAUUAGCAGAUCCUUCACCUAUCCUAUUUUAUCCCAUUAGUAGCACUGAAAUUCGUUGCUUGGUGGAUGUUCCUAGUCAAAAUCUACCCUCUGUUUCCAAUGGUGAAAUGGCUCAUUACUUGAAAACUUUGGUGGCUCCCAAGGUAUAUUUAUAUCUUUCUUUAAUCGACUCAUUAAUGGAAUUUGGUUGAACUUAUGGACUAACUAUAUGAUCUAUGAUACAUUUCAGGUUCUUCCUGAAUUAUACAAUUCCUUUAUAUCUGCAGUAGAGAAGAAGGGCAACAUAAGAAUAAUGCCGAACAAAAUCAUGGCUGGUGCUCCACACCUCACUCCUGGUGCUUUUUUGAUUGGCGAUGCAUUCAAUAUGCGGCAUGCUAUAACUGCAGGGGGAAUGACUGUUGCUUUAUCUGAUGUUGUGAUACUUAGGGAUCUUCUAAGACCCUUGCAUGAUCUAUCUGAUGCAUCCGCCAUUUGCAAAUAUCUUGAAUCCUUUUAUACUCUGAGGAAGGUAUUGUAAUUCAUGUCCUAUAUGAAUUUUUUAAAGUGAAUAAAAAGGAACAAAAAAUGGCAUAAAUUUUCACUUUUAACUGCAUGCAGCCAAUGUCAUCUACGAUAAAUACACUAGCCAAUGUUUUACAUAAGGUAUUUAGUGCCCCGUCGGAUCCUGCAAUGGAGAAUCUGCAACAAACAUUGUUGGGGUAUUUGAAACUUGGAGGGGUUUUUUCAUCUGGAGUAUCAGCUCUGCUCUCUGGUUUAUGCCCUCGUCCAUUAAGCUUAGUAUUUCAUUUCAUUGUCAUGGCAAUGUAUGGUGUUGGCCAGUUGUUACUUCCAUUUCCUUCUCCCAAACGCUUGUUGGAUGGGGCUAAACUCCUUUGGGUCAGUAUCUCUAGCAAUGAUCAUUUCUCAUAUAUCAUGAUCACUAACACGAUAAAAAUAUAUAAUAAUUUUAAAAUGACGUUAUUUUUUUUUGUUUUUUCAGGUUGCAUCAAGUGUUUUUCUCCCCAUUAUACACUCUGAAGGAGUCAGACAAAUGUUUUUCCCUCUAACUGUGCCAGCAUAUUAUAGAACUCCCCCUAAGGGAAAAAAAAUCUGAGAGGAAACUCCAUGCAUCUGUAGUGAACAAUUCUAUAUAUAUUCGCAAUAGAUUUUCAUAUUUGUUUCUAGUUAGCAUUCUCAAGUAGGCUUAAUGGUCGUUUGUACUCAUAUUAUUUUUAUGUGUCUUGUUUAAAAUUCUAAAUAAAGGUUUUGUAAUUCUUGUGUUGGUGUUAUUUUUAUGUAUCUUGUUUGAAAUAUUGAACUAACGCGUUAGUAUUUUUAAGUAGGUUCAAUAAGCAUCCUAUUCGUAUUGUUUUUGUUAAUAUAACUUAUUCAUGAGUUCAUUAAUAUUAAUAAGUGUGUAGCGAUCUCAUGAGUUUGGAAAGCUCUUUGGGAGAGAUUUUGCACAACUUGAGUGUAUAUCCUAAAGCAUUUGUUGCGAUGGACAGGAUUUUUCUAGAUAGAGCUUUGAUAUAGGUGACUUGAGUGGAAAUAUCUAUCCAAAUUUUGCACAAAUUUACGACCGAGUGAAUAAAGUUGAGUUUAUGAUGCAUUUUCGAUAAAAUAUCUUUUUAGCUAACUGGGCGGCAAAAGUGACAUUAAAUAUUCCAGAAAAGAUCUUUGAUGCACUCCCCAAGCGUAUAGCAGAACUUCCCCCGGCAAUACCAAAAAAUAAGUUAAUUUGUCUUUUCCCUUGGUUUUUUCUCCAAUAAUAAUUUAUCCCUUUUUGUUUCUGCAUUACGUGUGGUGGAGGUACAUCUAUCAUAUUUUUGUCAACUUUUUUGUUUUUCCAUUACGUGAGGUGGACAGCGGCCAAACUAUGGGACUCCCUCACUUAAAAUAGAAAAUUUUUUAUUUAAAUUUUUAAAAUUUUUAAAAUUUUAAAUUAAAAAAAUAAAAUUGUACUUUGAUGUUUUUUAAAGUUGAUAAAAAUUUAAUUUAAUUUUUUAAAAAAUUAUAAAGAUAUAGGCUAUUAAAAUAGUAAAAUUAUAUUUUUAUUGUCAUAAAAAUUACAAUUUAAUUUCGACCUUCUAAAUUUUUUUGUGACAUUCGGGACUAAACUGAAUAAAUUAAAAGUUGUUAAGAAAUUAUGCCAUAGACUAAAAAUACAAGGUCUCUAACAUGAAAGUAUAUGAAAUCAGAUUUUGAUUCAAUACUAAAGAUUGAAAAGUAUGAGCAUUUCUAAUAUAGGGAAAAAUGAAGAAAAUACAAAAUAUAUUUGAUUAUAUGUUUAUCAUGUGGUUGAGUGAAAACUAAAGCUAUUUUAUAAUUGAAUUAUCGAACGUAGCUAAAAACAAUGUCAGGCCGUCCUAAGAUAAAGGAAAUGCGAGAAUCGAAGAAAGUAAUUAAUACGAACUAAUACGAUUUGUACAUUCAUGAUUCAAAUUCAAUAUUUGCAAACUAAAUUGUCUCAUGGUUUGGUUUGUAUUUCAAUACUAUUGAACAUAUGUUUGAUCUUUAGAUUUGUAAUUUGUAAAUGUUUAAUUUAAAUAUGAUAUAAAAGUAUGAAAAGUAAAAAAAAACGUGAUGAUAAUAAUAUUAAUUAUAAUUUAAAAGAAGAGAUAUUUUAUUAUUUUUAUUUCACUUUAAAAUAGAUCUGAUUUUACGAAAAUUUGAAACAAUAGAGAACUAACCUAGUAAAAAGUAUACUUUAUACUUUAUAAUUAAUAUUGUUUGAUAGAAAGCUGUUCUAAAAGUAUCACAAAAAUUAUCGAAUUAUUUAUUUUAUAUAAAGAAAAACUUAUAACCACUAAAUACAUAUUAAUAAAGACCUAAUAUUUAAUCAAUAUGAUAAAAAUAUCGAAUCAAUUUAAAAUUGUACAUGCAUAAGAACCACAUUAUUUAUAUCGAUAUAUUCAUUUUAUAAUUAUAUAAAAGUUUGAGUAAAACUAUUAGCUUUACAGGUGGAUCUCAGAGGCGAAGUAAGAAAAUUUUUAAGUGAAAUUAAAUUAUAUAUUUUUAAGAUAAUAAAAAUAUAAUUUUACUAUUUUUAAUAGUCCAUACUUUUAUAAAUUUUAAAAAGUUAAAUUAAAAUUUUAUCCUUUAUCAAAUAUUAUUAAUUUAAAAUUUUAUAAAAUAUCUGGCGGAGUACUGUGAUUUUAGUUGCCACUUGUGCAAAGGGAUAAGCCACUGACAUGACUGCAUCUGCAUCCAUGAAAGAAGCCAAAUUGAAUUGUAACUUACUGCUCCUUUACGCUAAGAAUUUUUUCAGAGACGUGGAAGUACAAAAACAGGCGGUGCUUCUUCAUUCUUAUAUAAAUGCUGUUCUUCUUGAUUAUUCUUUCCAUACAUUGUUCUUAAAACAAUGGCUGGGCAGUUUAUAGUUGGAGUUGCAAAUGUUAUAGCCUUGCUUUUGGGGUUUGUUUUCUUAGUGAGAUUUUGGGGGCUGAGCAAGCUGAAAAGAGCAGCUUCAAUGGGGUUCCCAAAGGAAAACUGUGUAAACAAAAAUGGAAAUGGUGAGGGUGAGAGUGAGAGUGAGGGUGUUGGGACUGCAGAAAUUAUCAUAGUCGGCGCUGGUGUUGCCGGUGCUGCUCUUGCCUAUUCUCUUGGAAAGGUCCCAAUUUUUUAUCACCUUUAUUUUAAUUUUAUAGAAUUAAGUUUCGACUUGGGAUAAUAAUAGUAUUGAACUCUAAAAGGAUCUUGGAGCCACAUACAUGACUCUCCCAACUUUUCCAAUAUUUUUGUAGUGAAAGAGAUUGUUUUAAUUUUUUAUUUAAAUUUUAUAUUUAGUGAUUUUAUUUCCUUAAAGGAACAUUGUGCACAGUUUUAAGUAGGUCUGCUCAUGACCUGGUCCAGCUCAAAAGCCCGCUCGAAAAAUAGAAGAUUUAGGUAAAAAUAUAGGCUCAAAAAAUGAGCUUGGGAGAAAAAUGCCCGUUUAGAAAACGGGCUAAGCCUCAAGUAAGGUUUUUCAGCCCGGCCCAAAUAUGUAGUUUUUUUUUUUGCAAUUUUUUUCUAUUUUCUUGUUGUUGUUUUUCACUAUUUUGCUACUAUUUCACUAUUAUGUCGUUAUUAUUUUGUUGUUAUUGUAUAACUAUUGUUUUAUUGUUAAUUUUGUUAUUAUUUUAGAGGUAUUUGCUUGUUAAGUUGCACUUAUCUUAGUGUUAUUUAAGUAUACAUUUUUUAAAAAAUUUAUUUUUAAUUUGUUGGAAAACAAUUAUUUUAAUAUUUUUAAUAUUUUUUUAAAAAAAAAUUAAUAUAAGCGGAGCCCGGGUUUUAACAUUUUAUUCGGGCUAGGCUUGAGCAAAAUUUAAGGACCAUUUUUUGGGCUCGGGCCAAGCAAACGAGUCUAAAAUUUUGGUUUUGCCCGGCCAAACCCAUAAACACCUCUAGUUUUAAGUAAUCAUAUGUUAUUUCUUCUUAAUUGUUCUUUUUAAAUAUGUAUUUAUGCCAUCUUUUUUUAACUUACAUAUAUGUCUUUUUUGUAGUAUAACUAACAUACAUAAUAUACGUUACAAGAAAUAAAUAUAAAAGAUACUUUAAUUAUGACAAAUAAAAAAAUUGAAAUUCCUUCUUAAUUAUAUUUAAUGUAGAAAUACAUAUAAAUAUCUAAGAUUUUAAAAAAUAUUGUAGAGGUGGGGAAUGUCGCAUUUAGCUUCAAUUAACAUCAGUUUCUCUUCAAGUUACCAUAAGAUCCUUGAAAAAUGGAGUUAACUAUGAUGUUAUACCUAAUAAUACUUCUAUAAUUAUAUAUUGUAGGAUGGACGUCGAGUGCGAGUGAUAGAAAGGGACUUAAAUGCACCUAAUAGAAUUGCUGGUGAAGCUCUAAUGCCUGGAGGCUACCUCAAGUUAAUUGAAUUAGGCCUUGAAGGUAAAUAAGAAUAGUGGAUGCAAUAUAAUAUUUCAAUGUCAUUUCUUUAAAUAUAUUACUUUGAAUGUUGGCACUACAGAUUGCUUAGAUGAGAUUGAUGCUCAACGAUUUUUGGGUUAUACUCUAAACAAGGAUGGAAAGGAGGCUCUCAUAUCUUUUCCAUUGGAAAAGAUUCAUUCUCAUGUUGUAGGAAGAACUUUCCAUAACGGUCGUUUCGUUCAAACAUUACGAAAGAAAGUAGCAUCUCUUCACAAGUACUUUCUCUCCUUCCUCCCAAUCAUUCUUUAAUUUCAAUUUAAUAUAUUAGAACAUUUAUCUUAAUGGAUUAAAUGACUUGUAGUUGUUUUGAUCCAUUACUUUUGUUUAUGAGCUCGUCCAGUUGAUUUUGGUUUGAUCAAUUUAGAUAAAAUCACUCAAGUUUUAAAACUAACACAUCAUUUUGGUUUUUAUCAUUUUAGGCUAAGGAUUAUUUUGGGUUCAGAUCAUUUCCAGUUUAUAUUUGAGUCAUUUUGCUCCGGGUUUCAAAUUUUUGAGUGUGGUCAUUACAAUUUCAUAUCGUUUUGGUUCUAGUCACUUCGAGUUUGGAUCCUUCCAAGUUAAUUUUUGAAUCAUUUUGGGUCUGAGUUGUUUUAAGUUCAAGUUAGUUUGGGUUAGAGUAAAAUUUUGUUCAAGUUGGAGGGACUCAAAUUGUGGACCCUUUAUAGUCAAAUCAAAUUGGAUCAAAUUUAAGUUCCAAUUGGUCGAGUCAAAUUUUCAAAUUCAAGUCAAAAUUGACAUGUCUGGUUCUGUUACUAUUACUUUGUUUCAACUUGUUUUAAUCAGAAAUUAUGCCUCUCUUUACAAGGUCCAAAUUCAUGUUUUUAUGAUAUGAUAACGCAGUGUAAGUUUAGAACAAGGGACAGUAAUAUCUCUACUUGAAGAAAAUGGUAUUGUCAAAGGAGUGCACUAUAAAGAUAAGAGUGGUCAAUUGCUAACAGCUUACGCUCCUCUCACCAUUGUCUGUGAUGGUUGUUUCUCGAAUUUGAGACACUCUCUCUGCCAUUCUAAGGUGAAAAAAAUGUUUACGUAUUCUUGUUAAAUUAGUUUAAUUCUUAUUUUAGUCACUCUAUAACGUUAAAAAUUUGAGAUUUAGUCCUAUUUUAUUGUGCCAUAAUUUGAUUCCAUUAUUUUUGUGAAGAUAUUAGUAUGUCAAAAUAGAUCAGUUGCUUUUAUUAAAGAAUUGACUUAUUUUUUGGUCAUAUAGUCAAGGUCACAUUGAAAUCAAGUCAAUUAGGUUGAACCAAUAAUGAAAUUUCAUGUUACUCGAAUGUUAGUUAGUUUUAACAAAAAUCUAUGUCAUUAUUUCAAUGGUAACAAUUAACGGUGUCAUCAAUUUGGAUCUACAAUAAAGAUAGAGAGACUAAAUUUUGCCAAAUUGAAAUAGAGGAAUAAAAUUCCAAUUUCAGCUUGGUAGAAGGACUAAAACCAUAAUUAGACUUAAAUUAUAUGCUUUGAGAAAAUAUGCAUAUAAAGGUCUCGAUUAUUUGUGCAGGUGGAUAUACCUUCUUAUUUUGUUGGUUUUAUCUUGACGAACUGUAAACUUCCAAAAGAAAAAUAUGGAGUUUUUAUAUUAGCAGAUCCUUCACCUAUCCUAUUUUAUCCCAUUAGUAGCACAGAAAUUCGUUGCUUGGUGGAUGUUCCUAGUCAAAAUCUACCCUCUGUUUCCAAUGGUGAAAUGGCUCAUUACUUGAAAACUUUGGUGGCUCCCAAGGUAUAUUUAUAUCUUUCUUUAAUUGACUCAUUAAUGGAAUUUGGUUGAACUUAUGGACUAACUGUAUGAUCUAUGAUACAUUUCAGGUUCUUCCUGAAUUAUACAAUUCCUUUAUAUCUGCAAUAGAGAAGAAGGACAACAUAAGAAUAAUGCCGAACAAAAUCAUGGCUGGUGCUCCACACCUCACUCCUGGUGCUUUUUUGAUCGGCGAUGCAUUCAACAUGCGGCAUGCUAUAACUGGAGGGGGAAUGACUGUUGCUUUAUCUGAUGUUGUGAUACUUAGGGAUCUUCUAAGACCCUUGCAUGAUCUAUCUGAUGCAUCCGCCAUUUGCAAAUAUCUCGAAUCCUUUUAUACUCUGAGGAAGGUAUUGUAGUUAAUGUCCUAUAUGAAUUUUUUAAAGUGAAAAAAAAGGAACAAAAAAUGGCAUAAAUUUUCACUUUUAACUGCAUGCAGCCAAUGUCAUCUACGAUAAAUACACUAGCCAAUGUUUUACAUAAGGUAUUUAGUGCCCCGUCCGAUCCUGCAAUGGAGAAUCUGCAACAAACAUUGUUGGGGUAUUUGAAACUUGGAGGGGUUUUUUCAUCUGGAGUAUCAGCUCUGCUCUCUGGUUUAUGCCCUCGUCCAUUAAGCUUAGCAUUUCAUUUCAUUGUCAUGGCAAUAUAUGGUGUUGGCCAGUUGUUACUUCCAUUUCCUUCUCCCAAACGCUUGUUGGAUGGAGCUAAACUCCUUUGGGUCAGUAUCUCUACCAAUCAUUUCUCAUAUAUCAUGAUCACUAACACGAUAAAAAUAUAUAAUAAUUUAAAAAUGACGUUCUUUUUUUUGUUGUUGUUGUUUUUUCAGGUUGCAUCAAGUGUUCUUCUCCCCAUUAUACACUCUGAAGGAGUCAGACAAAUGUUUUUCCCUCUAACUGUGCCAGCAUAUUAUAGAACUCCCCCUAAGGGAAAAAAAAUCUAAGAGGAAACUCCAUGCAUCUGUAGUGAACAAUUCUAUAUAUAUUCGCAAUAGAUUUUCAUAUUUGUUUCUAGUUAGCAUUCUCAGGUAGGCUUGAUGGUGGUUUGUACUCAUAUUGUUUUUACGUGUCUUGUUUAAAAUUCUAAAUAAAGGUUUAGUAAUUCUUGUGUUGGUGUUGUUUUUAUGUAGCUUGUUUGAAAUAUUGAACUAACGAGUUAGCAUUUUUAAGUAGGUUCAAUAAGCAUCCUAUUCGUACUGUUUUUGUUAAUAUAAAUUAUCCAUGAGUUCAUUAAUAUUAUUAAGUGUAUAGAGAUCUCAUGAGUUUGGAAAGCUCUUUGAGAGAGAUUUGGCACAACUUAAGCGUAUAUCCUAAAGCAUUUCUUGCGAUGGAGAGGAUAUUUCUAGAUAGAGCUUUGAUAUAGGUGACUUGAGUGGAAACAUCUAUCCAAAUUUUGCACAAAUUUACAACCAAGUGAAUAAAAUUGAGUUUAUGAUACAUUUUCGAUUAAAUAUCUUUUUAGCUAACUGGACGGCAAAAGUGACAUUAAGGGUGAGUUUGGAUGGGCGGUGCGUUUACCUGCGGUUAGUGUAAAAAUAGCAAUAGCGGUGAGAUUAGAUACUGUAGUGAUACUGUAGCGUAAGACAAAAAGUAAGUUAAACACACCGCACCACACCCAAUCGCCCAUCCAAACCCACCCUAAAUAUUCCGGAAAAGAUCUUUGAUGCACUCCCCAAGCGUAUAGCAGAACUCCCCCGGCACUUUUUAUCAUACCAAAAGUUAAAUUAAUUUGUCUUUUCCCUCUCUUUUUUUUCCAAUAAUAAUUUAUCCUUUUUGUUUUUGCAUUACGUGUGGUGGAGGUACAUCUAUCAUAUUUUUGUCAAGUUUUUAUUUUCUUCCCUUUCGAUUCGCUAUUUCUCUGCUAACCUCUCUUCAAUUUCCCUCUUUCUCAAUUUGGUAAAGGACGACACGGAUGAAUUAAGUUAAAUGUCCUCUUAAGAAACGGCGCCGUUAAAGGUAAUUUUAAUUCAGAGUUGCGGCGUUUUGCGAAAAAACGCUGCUAUUGCAUCCACAUUUGCGGUGUUUUAAUAAUAAAGAACGCCACUAAAAUUUUUAGUACAGAAAGAAACGGUGCCGUUUUAUUAAAAUAUAAUGCAUGUUCUGGUGUUUUUCCAAAAAAUGCCACUAAAAGAUUCCAUCCUUCCAUUGAAACGGUGCCGUUUUGCCAACUUUUAAGUAUCAUUUACGGCAUUUUUCGGAAAAACACUAUAACUCAAAUUUAAUCCCUAAACUGAAACGACGCCGUAUCGAAAAAUGCAAUAAAUGUUUGUGGCAUUUUUUACCAAAACGCCGAUAAUGUCUACCUUUUGCGGUGUUUUUGAUAUAAACGCCACUAAUAAAUUUAAAUUCUCCUAUCGAAACGGUGCCGUUUUGAGAAAUUUGACUAUAUAGUAACGGCAUUUUUUUUGUUAAAAACACCGCUAAAUCUCAAAUAUUUUAUUUAUUUAUUUAUUUAUUGUAUCUUUCAUUUAAAUUUUACGUAAAUAAUUAUUAAAAUUUUAAGUAAUAUUUUAAAAGUAUUUGAUACAUGUAUAAAUUUUAGUUUUUUUAUUUCAUUUUUAUUUUUUUAUUUUAUUUUUUCUUAUAUUUUGGUCCUAUACAAAUUAAAUAAUUAAUUACCUAUAUAUAUAUAUCCAUAUCAAAAAUAUCAAUGGUUAGGGUUAAAUGUUUUUAAAUAUACAAGUAUUAAUUAAUUGUAUCAUUUAACAAGUCUCAAAUAAACCUUAAACCCUAAAUUAACCAAUCAAUCUACAUGCAUAAAGUGAUCGUCUAUCUAUUAUAUAUCUCUUAAAUAAUAUAAAUUAUACUCAUAAUUUCAAUAUAUUAAAUUUAUUAUUAUCUAUUUUACAAAUAUAUAAGAACAUAUUUAAUAUAUAAAUUAAUAAAACUAAUUAAUCUAAACUUAAACCCUAACUUGACCCUUGAAACCCCAAACCCUAAAUCCCUAACCCCUAACCCCUAAAUCCCCCUAACACCUAAAGCAUAACCCCUAACACUUGAACCUUAAAUCCCAAACCCUAAAUCCAUACCCCCUACUCCUUAAAAUACCAUCCAAAAAAAUCCUUAAAUCUUUAACAAUCAUAAAAUAUAGUUAAAAUCGAUUAAACAAUAAUUAAUAGUUAAAAAUUUUGUAUAAAUUGGUGUUUUAUAUUACUUUCUUUGAUUUAUUUAGUCGAACUAUCAAAAUUUAUUAUUCUUAUAAAAGUUUAUUCUAUUUUUUAUUCUUUACAACACAACAAUUUAAGUUUUAUGAUAUUUUAUUUUACUCAUAGUUUAAUAUAUUUUUUUCUAGUAAAGUAGUUUAAAUAAACUGUGAUUAAAAAAUAAUAAUAAAUAGUUAGGAGUUAGGACUUCUCUUUAAUUAUAAAAAUAUUUUGUAUUAAACAAUAUUAUUUGUUAUCAUUUAAAUGUAAAUUUGUCCACUAUAUAACAUGGUCUUUAGCGUCGUUUUUUUCUAAGCGCCGCUAAAGAACAUGGUCUUUAGCGGCGUUUUUGUUUGUAAAUGCUGCAAACGUUUGCGACGUUUUCGUUAGCGGCCUUUUUUGCGGCGCUUGUGGAAGCGCCGCAAAUACCUUUAGUGGCGUUAUAAAGCGCCGCUAAAGGCCUAAAAAAACGCCGCUAAAGACCCGUUUUGGUGUAGUGUUAUAAUAAAAAAAAUAUAAUUCAAACAUUACUUGAGAAUAUAUCAAAGAAUGAGAUAAUUGAAAUGGGUAUUAGAUUUUAUUAUUAUUAGCGGUGCUAUUUCAAAAACGCCGCUAAAGGCCCGAGCAUUAGCGGCGCAAUUUCAAAAAAGCCGCUAAAGGCCCGAGCAUUAGCGGCGCUAUCUCAAAAACGCUGCUAAAGGACCGAGCAUUAGUGGCACUACUCCAAAAACGCCGCUAAAGGCCCCAAAAACUCAGGCGUCGUUGGUCUUAGGUUUUUUGCGGCGCUUUUCGGAAAACGCGCUAAUUCUUAUUUUUGGCGGCGUUUUUCGAAAAGCGCCGCUAAUGCUCGAUCUUUAGCUGUGUUUUUAUAAAAGCGCCGCUAAUGCUUGAUUUUUAGUAGCGUUUUUUAUCCAAACGCCACUAAAAAUGCCACUAAAAGCCUAUUUUGGUGAAGUGGUAGUAUUGGUUCACAUCGUAGGGCGUACCAAGAGCACUAAAAAUGAUAAUGCAUAGGGUCUCAUGAGCUUGGAGAGUUGUUUGGGAGAGAUUUAGAACAACUUUAGCAUGUAUCCUAAAGCAUUUCUUGUGGUGGAGAGGGCCUUUCUAGAUGACGAGGAACUUUGGUAUGGGAGACUUGAGUGGAAACAGUCAUCCAAGUUUUGCACAGGCUUACAGCCGAGUGAAUAAAGUUGAGUCCGUAACACAUUACGAGCUUAAUAUAUUCCUCGAUAAAAAGUCUUUUUAGUUAACUGGAUGGAAAAAGUAGCAUUAAAUAUUCUUAAAAUGAUCUUUACUUUUGAUGAACCACCCCCAGAGAUCAUGGUCACCCUUAAAACUGAUGUGAAAGAAUUUGCCUUCCCAGAUUUAGGGAAAAUUCUCCCAUGCGCUCCAAGCAUGCACACAUAUAUGUAAUUUUUACCGACUUUUCUAAUGCUAUUUUUGUUAGAAAUAUUAGUAUUGGUAUAAGUUAGAAAUGUCGGUAAAAACUAAAAAAAUUUGAUAGACUCCCCAAGCGUAUAGCAGGAUUCCCGACGUUUAAUUGUUGCUUAUUAAGCUCUAGGGCCCUCUAUCAUACCAAAAAUUAAAUUAUUUUGUUUUUUCCUUUUGUUUCUUUUAAUGCCUUCUUCUUUUGUUUUUUUUUUCCUUUUUGUUUCUUUUACUGCCUUAUUACAACUUCAUGAAUAAAACGUGGGUAUUUUUCCACCCAAAUAACAUCACUACAAAUACACCUGCAUGUCUAGUCAUUUUUGUGAGCAGCGUUGCUUUGGGGACUUAGCGAUCGCAGGACCCAUGUUUUGGCUACUCUUGUUUACUGUCUUCCAAAUUAGAGAUGAUUUGUAGAGCAUCUCCCUCAACAAUAAUAUCCCAGCACGUGCUUAUUCACUCCCCCACCAUUCCUCCCUUCUCUUCUAUAAAUCAUGUUCUUCUUGAUUAUUCGUUCCACGCAUUGUUAUUAAAUCAAUGGCUGAGCAGUACAUAGUUGGAGUUGGAGCUGUUAUAGCCUCUCUUUUGGGGUUCCUUUUCUUGUACUGCAAUUCCCUCAUAAGAUUUAGGGGACUGAGUAAGCUAAAAAGAGCAGCUUCAAUGGAGUUCCCAAAGGGGAACAGUGUAAACAAAACUGGAAAUAGUGAGGGUGUUGGCACUACGGAUAUUAUCAUAGUCGGCGCCGGUGUUGCCGGUGCUGCUCUUGCCUAUUCUCUUGGAAAGGUCCCAUUUUUUCUCCUUGUUCUUUAUUUUGUUCUACCAUAGUUUUAAUCAUCUUAUUUUCCUCUUCCUGCAUAUAACAAUUACUAUAUUUUUUUUUUUUUGUAAAAAUACCAUAGUGGCCUCUUAUCAGGAGUCAAACUACAUAUAUCUUCAUUUACUCAAAUAUUUCAUAAAUUAGUCUAUUUAUAUUAGAUCAAGUAGCAAACGGGUCAUUUCUAUUAAAAAAUUAAUCCAUUUUUACGGUUAAAAUUAAUGUGGCUGACAAAAUAACCAAAUAGUUAUACAUAACAUGCCAUAUGUGCCUCACGCUAACAUAUAGGGACCAAACUUUAACAGUAGGAAUUGAUGGAUUUUUUAAUAGAGGACCAAUUUGAUCUUUGAUCUAUUGUCUAGAGACUAAUUUGUUCAUUUUUUAGUAAAGGAGACAAAUGUAAUCCGACUUUUAGUACAAGGCUUAAUGAUGCUUUUACUAAUUUCUUUUAGGAACAAUUACUAAUUAAGUUUUCAUUUUAUUAUUAUUAUUUAUAGACAUUUUAUUAUUAUUGGUUGAAGUAUUAUAUGAGAAGAUAAUAAGUUAAUUUAAUUUCACGUGGAUCUGUGUUUAUUUUUUAUAAUAAAUUCAAAUUUUAAUUUGAUGGUAAAAUGAAAUAUUCAAUACUUUCUUAAACUGGAUCGGUUUUGAUUGAGAAUUGAUUAGGGGAUUGAUCCAAAAGAAAUAAAAAAAUUACUUGAUUCAUGAAUCAGUAUAAUCUGAUUAAAUCGGUGAUUGAAUUUGUUGAUCCAAAUUUUAUAAUUUUUUUAUUUUUGUUUUUAAAUUUUUUUUAAUAAUCUAUUUAACUUAAAUAAGAUAAACAAAUGGAUCGAAAAUUGAUAUUUAACUAAUUUGACCGUGAAUUUAGAAAACAUCAAAUAUAAUAUUAGCAACUAAGAAUAUAUAUAUAUAUGAAUUUUUUUUAUAAUUGGUAAGGCAUAAUAUGAAGUACUAAUAGAUAUAAAAUAUAUUUUGACAGUCGGAUUUAAUUUUAUUUAAUAUAAAUAGAUAUAAGUAUUUGAAUUAUUAUAAUAUAUAUUAACUGUUAGAAAAAAUUUUAUAAAUCUCGAUUGAGUUUUAGUUCAAUUGACAUGAGUAUUGUUGUUAAUGCGCUGAAACGUAUUAUACUCUUAUACAUAAGUUGAGAAUGAGCUGUAGGUAGUUCUAAGUAUUAUUUCAACAAAUAGCAUAUAUAAUCAGAACUUGUAAUAAGAUUGUUAAAACAAAAUCUAUAAGUUAAACAAAUUUUGUAGGUCCUUUAUUUAUUAAUUUUGAUUUUUUAAAAGGUUAAUUUUUAAUUACACCCUAAAAUAUAUCUAAAUCUUUUUUUUUGGUUAAAACUAAUACUUAGACUAUAAUUCAUUUAAUGCAACAUCAAUAAAUAAUUCUGAUUUUAUAAUAUUAUUUAUAGUAAUAUUAAUUAAAAAAUUAUAAUAACAUUUAAAAAAAAUAUUUCCCAACCCCACCACCGUUCUCCCCUCCUCCUCCCUUACCGUUCCUCCCUUUCACCCCUCACCCUCUCCCCACCGACCACCACCGCCGAGAGAAAGGGGCUUAAAUAUGGGCGUGUAUCAGUUUUAUAUAGUAAACCUCAAUCGUAGACCACCUUUGUGCUGGAUAUGUUGGUUAAUACUUGUUUUUCAUUAACAUGAGAGAAGCUUGAGGAAAGAAAAGUAAGAAUAUAGCAGUGGUUACUUCAUUCUACAGUUCCUAGACCGUUUGUGUAGUUGGGAAUUGUCCCAAGUCAUUUUUGUCCCAGAAUUCACCAUUUGACCAUUGAGUUUCAUUCUACAAAUCCAAACUAGGUUACAAAGUUGCAAUUUCUCAUAAGCUAAGCCAAACUUCUACUGUACUUGUAGUUUGUUUGCCAUUUUUUUUCCCUUCAAGAGCCAUUAAUACUUUGAUGGUAACUUGAUCUCCUUGGGUACAGAAGUGUUUUAGUUGAGGGAAAAAGGACAAUCAAAACCUGUAGUUUUUCUGCUAAUGUAAGAUAUGGGGGGAGGGGAGAGGGAGAGAGAGGGAGCCAAGAGGGGUGGCCGGGUGGGGGUGAGGGAGGAAAAUAUUUUUAUUUCUUUAGUGUUAACAUGCAUGUCAUAUGCACAUGAUGAAAUAAGAAACCUAUGUAUUGCAAUUGCAUAUGAUAGAACUCGAAUCUAGGUGCUUAAAAAUCCAGAGCCUCUCCCUUAAGCAACAAUACCAAAACUUAACAUGGUAUCAUACGUGACAAUUCUUCACAAUUUUCAUGUUACAGGACGGACGUCGAGUGCGAAUGAUAGAGAGGGACUUAAAUAUGCCUAAUAGAAUUGUCGGUGAACUUCUAUAUCCAGGAGGCUACAUAAAGUUAAUUGAAUUAGGCCUUGAGGGUAAACAACAAAUAAAUUGUGGAUUUAAAUAGUAGAUGCAAUAUAAUGUUACAAUGUUAGUUAUUUAUACAGUAACUUUUUUUUACUUUGAAUGUUGGUACUAUAGAUUGUGUAGAUGAGAUUGAUGCUCAACAAUUUUUGGGUUAUACUCUAUACAAGGAUGGAAAGGAGACUCUCGUAUCUUAUCCAUUGGAAAAGUUUCAGUCUCAUAUUUCAGGAAGAACCUCCCAUAAUGGUCGUUUCGUUCAAAGGCUGCGAAAAAAAGCUUCAUCACUUCACAAGUAUUUUCUCCCCUUCCUCUUAAUCAUUUUUCAAAUUCAACAUAAGAUGUCUAACAUUUGUCUUAACAAAUUAAAUUAGACUUGGCAAUUGAGCUAGUUGAAUAGAUUUUGGGUCAUGUCAAUCUAGAUCGAGCCAUUCAAGUUGCAAAAUUCUUUGAGUAAAUAUGGUAUUAGUGUGUUUAGAUUUAAGUCACUUUAAGUUUGGAUUCGAGUCAUUUUGAGUUCAGGUUAGAAUGGUUUGAAGCCUGAGUUUUUAGGGUCGAGCUAUGAUAGGUUCAUGUCAUUUUAGGUUAUAAUCACUUCAAUUUUUGGUCUUUCAAGUUGUUUGGAUCAUUUCAAGUUGGAGCGAAAAAUUUAUGUUAUGGUGAAAUAAGGUUCGAGUUAGAGGGGUUCAUGUUGUUGAUUCUUUAUAGUAAGUUUAGUUUUGAAUUGAUUAAGUUAGGUUUUAGGUUAAGGUUAAAAUUUAAAAGUUGACUUCUAUAUGUAUUAUUUUGCUAACUUGUUACAACAAUUUAUUAGAAAUAGUACAUUUGAAAUUAUACUUUUCUUUACAAGAUCCAAUUUGAUGCAUUGAUAUUAUGAUAAUAUAGUGUAACUCUAGAACAAGGGACAGUAACAUCUCUGAUUGAAGAAAACGGUAUUGUCAAAGGAGUGCACUACAAAAAUAAGAGUGGUCAAGUGUUGACAGCUUACGCUCCUCUCACAAUUGUAUGCGAUGGUUGUUUCUCAAAUUUGAGACGCUCUCUUUGUUAUCCUAAGGUAAAAAUGCUUAAGAAUUAGUGUUAAAUUAUUCUAGUUAUAGUUUUCAUCUCUCUAAUUUUAUAUUUCAACAUUCUACUUUAAUUUGGCUUAAUUUGAUUCAUUUAUUUUUUUAUAAUGUUUUUAUAAUGUCCAAAAUGAUAACAUCAUUAGUUGCUUUUUGUUAGGCCACAUAAAAUUUCAAUCAACCAUAUUCAACCACAUAAUUUUUUUUCUCCAAAUUAAAGAAAAUGGAUUAAAUUCCAAUUUUAGGAUAAUAGAAGGACUAAAACUUUUAUUAGACUUGUUAAAUUCUAUGCUUAGAGAAAAUAUAUAAAGGUCUAUAUUUUUUUUUCUGCAGGUUGAUAUACCCUCUUAUCUUGUUGGUCUUACACUGACAAACUGUAACCUUCCAAAAAAAAAUUAUGGAGCUAUUAUAUUAGGACACCCUUCACCAAUCAUAUUGUAUCCAGUUAGCAGCACUGAAAUUCGUUGCAUGGUGGAUGUUCCUAGUGAAAAGGUACCUUCAGUUUCCAAUGGUGAAAUGGCAUGUUACUUGAAAACUCAGGUGGCUCCCAAGGUAUAUUUAGAUCUUUCUUUUAUUCAUUCAGUAGGGGAAUUUGGCUUAAUUUAUGGACUAACUGUAUGGCUUAUAAUAUAUUUCAGGUUCUUCCUGAAUUGUACAAUUCCUUUAUGUCUGCAAUAGAGAAGAAGGGUAACAUAAGAAUAAUGCCGGCUAAAAUCAUGGCUGCUGCUCCACACCUGACUCCUGGUGCGCUUCUGAUUGGAGAUGCACUCAACAUGCGGCACGCUAUAACCGGAGGGGGAAUGACUGUUGCUCUGUCUGAUGUCGUAAUACUUAGGGAUCUUCUAAGACCCUUGCAUGAUCUAUCCGAUGCAUUCACCAUUUCCAAAUAUCUCGAAUCCUUUUAUACUCUGAGGAAGGUAUUGUAGUUUCAUGUUUUAUAUGCAUUUUGAAAGUGAAUGGCAAUGAUGAAAACGGUAUAAUUUUGCCCUUUAACUACAUGCAGCCAAUGUCAUCUACAAUAAAUAUACUGGCUAAUGUCCUACAGAAGGUAUUCAGUGCCUCGUCCAAUCCUGCAAUGGAGAAUCUGCAGCACACCUUUUUGGGGUAUUUGAGACUUGGAGGGAUGUUUUCAUAUGGAGCAUCCGCUAUGCUCUCUGGUUUAUGCCCUUCUCCAUUAAGCUUAGCAUUUCAUUUCUUUUCCAUUGCAAUAUAUGGCGUUGGCCGAUUGUUACUUCCAUUUCCUUCUCCCAGGCGUUUGUGGGAUGGGGCUAAAUUCCUUUGGGUCAGUAUCUUUACUAAACAUUUAUAUAUUAACAUGAUAUAAAUAUAUAAGAUCUUAAAUAUGAUUAUGAUAUAGAUUCAUAUUAAUACAAAUAUUUUAUUGUUUUUCAGGUGGCAUCAAGUAUUCUUCUCCCCUACAUAUACUCUGAAGGAAUCAGACAAAUGUUUUUCCCUCUAACUGUGCCAGCAUAUUAUAGAACUCCCCCUAAAAAAGGUCCCAAAAAGAAACUUCAUGCAUUAAUUAGCAGUGUUUGUUGGAACAAUUCUAUGUUCUUAACAAAAUCUCGCAUCUGUUACUAGCAUUCUUAAGUAGGCUGGAUAAUCUUUUGUAUAUGUGAUGUUUAAAAUGGUAAAUAAAUGAGUUGGCUAAAUUGCUUUGGGUCGGUAUCUUUACCAAACAUUUGUAUAAUAACAUGAAUAUAUAAGAUCUUAAAUAUGAUUAUGAGAUAGAAUCAUAUUAAUAAAAAUAUUUUCAUGUUUUUCAGGUGGCAUCAAGUAUUCUUCUCCCCUACAUAGACUCCGAAGGAAUCAGACAAAUGUUCUUCCCCCUAACUGUGCCAGCAUAUUAUAGAACUCCCCCUGAAAAUAAGGACAAAAAAAAAACUUCAUGCAUUAAUUAGCAGUAUUUGUUGGAACAAUUCUAUGUUCAUCUGUUACUUGCAUUCUUAAGUAGGUCUUAAGACAAUUAGACGCAUGUCUAGAGACAAUGACGCAUCAAAGCUAAAAUAAGAAAAUAGGUGAGGUCAAUCUCGAGACAUGAAAGACUUUGUCCCAAGAUAUGCUAAAAUCGAAACAAAAUUCUCAAAAAUGAAAUGUGGCAUGUCUUAACUCUUAAAUAUUCAACCUUAUAUUUUGAUAAAUUAUGAUCCUAUACAUUAAGAAUAGAUGUGUAUGGAUAUGUUAAAUGAAAUAAAUGAAUUGAAAUGAUUACUAUACAUUGACUGAUGUGUUCAAAAUGUAAGUUAGCCUGAGUUGUUUUUAGGGGUGCUCAAAUUUCUAUUAAAACCGAAUUAACUGACCAAACCAAUCUAAUUUGGUUAAUCGGUUGAUUAACCGAUCUAAUUCGGUCAGAGAUCGAUUAAUGAUUUUUUGAAAGUUUAUUUUUUAAUUAAUUCGGUUCACAAUCAGGUAAUUAAUCGAAUUAACUAAAAUAAAUAAUAUAUAUUAGCAGCCCACCCAAGCCGCAGCCACUACCUAGCACAGGCCCCACUAACCCAACCUAAAUAAACAUUUAAAAUCCAAUCCAAUCCACAUAAUUAAUUUAAUUAUAAAAUUAAUUUAUAUUAAAUAAAUAAUUUAAUAAAAAUUGGAAUCCCUAAAAAAACUAAAAAUAACUCAGUAACUCACACCUAUUUCGAUAUUUUUAAUCUCCCAAAAUUCCUAAUCGCAAAUACCUUCCAUUUGCUAAAGAAGAGGUUCGUUUUUCUUUAAAGACAUUUUCUAUCCAUUUACUAAAGAUGUUUAUCUUCGAUAAACCAUCACCGGAGAUCAUGGCCGCCCUUAAAAUUGACGUGAAAGGAGUUACCUUCUCACAUUUAGGGAAAAUUCUCCCAUGCUCUCCAAGCAUGCACACAUGUAUGUUAGGCUACUCUUGUUUACUGUCUUCCAAACUAGAGAUGAUUUGGAGAGCAUCUUCCUCAACAAUAAUAGAAUGAUAUCCCAACACGUGCUUAUUCACUCACCCACCAUUCCUCCCUUUUCUUCUAUAAAUCAUGUUCUUCUUGAUUAUUCGUUCCACGCAUUGUUAUUAAAUCAAUGGCUGAGCAGUACAUAGUUGGAGUUGGAGCUGUUAUAGCCUCUCUUUUGGGGUUCCUUUUCUUGUACUGCAAUUCCCUUAAAAGAUUUAGGGGACUGAGAAAGCUAAAAAGAGCAGCUUCAAUGGAGUUUCCAAAGGGGAACAGUGUAAAAAAAACUGGAAAUAGUGAGGAUGUUGGCACUACGGAUAUUAUCAUAGUCGGCGCCGGUGUUGCCGGUGCUGCUCUUGCCUAUUCUCUUGGAAAGGUCCCAUUUUUUCUCCUUGUUCUUUAUUUUGUUCUACCAUGGUUUUAAUCAUCUUAUAUUCCUCUUCCAGCAUAUAACAAUUACUAGUUUUUUUUUGGGAAAAAAUAUCAUGGUUACCUCUUACUAGGAGUCAAAUUGCAUAUAAAUUAGUCUUUUUAUAUUAGAUCAAGUAGCAAAUUGAUCAUUUCUAUUAAAAAUUUAAUCCAUUUUUACGAUUAAAAUUGGUGUGGUUGACAGAAUAAUCAAAUAGUUAUACAUAGCGCGUUGUACCUUAUGCUAACGUAUAGGGACCAAUUUUUAACUGUAGGAAUUUAUGGACUUUUUAACAGAGGGCUAAUUUGCUCUUUGAUCUAUUGUAUAGGGACUAAUUUGUUCAUUUUUUAGUAGAGGAGACAAAUACAAUCCGAUUCUUAGUACAAGGCCCUCCAUGAUGCUUUUACCAAUUUUUUUGAGGAACAAUUACUAAUUAAGUUUGCAUUUUAUUAUUAUUAUUUAUACACAUUUUAUUAUUAUUGGUUGAAGUAUUAUAAGAUAAUAUUACGAUAAGUUAAUUUAAUUUCACAUGGAUCUAUGUUUAUUUUUUAUAAUAAAUUCAAAUUUUAAUUUGAUGGCAGAAUGAAAUAUUCAAUAUUUUCUUAAACUGUACCGGUUCUGAUUGAGAAUUGAUUAGGGUAUUGGUCCAAAAGAAAUAAAAAAUCACUUGAUUCAUGAAUCAGUAUAAACUGAUUAUAUCAAUGAUUGAAUUUGUUGAUCCAGAUUUUAUAAUUUUUGUUAUUUUUAUUUUUUAAUAAUUUAUUUAACUUAAAUAAGAUAAACAAAUGGAUCGAAAAUUGAUGAUUUGACUAGUUUCACAGUCAAUUUAGAAAACAUCAAAUAUAGUAUUAGUAACUAAGAAUAUAUAUAUCAAUUUUGUAAAAAUAAAACGUCGGUAAUGACAAUAUAUUGUAAAGAAAAAGAGAAAUAAAAAUAAAAAACACACAGAUUUUUACGUGGAAACCCUUUCGGGGAAAAAACCACAGGCAGAGGAGAAGAAAAUUCUCUAUGUCAAAUUCGAUUGAUUACAAGAGAAGUUUCGACUACAUCUAUUUAUAGGUUAAUUCUAAUCAAAGUUAAAUAUAUUAUGUUAACAAAUGCUAAAUAUACUAGACUCAUAAAUACUAAAUCUUCUAGAAAGAAGAUAUAUUUUGUUUAACUUGACUUGCAAGCAAUCUCUUAGAAUUUGGGUCAUACAACUCUAACAAUUUUUUUAUAAUUGGUAAGGCACAAUAUGAAGUACUAAUAAAAAAUAGCAUAUAUAAUCAGAACUUGUAAUGAGAUUAUUAAAAAAAUCUAUAAAUAUGUUAAAUAAAUUUUGUAGGUCCUUUAUUUAUUAAUUUUUAUUUUUUAAAAGAUUUAAUUGAUAAAUUACACCCUAAAAUAUAUCUAAAUCUUUUUUUUUGGUUAAAACUAAUACUUAAACUAUAAUUCAUUUAAUGCAACAUCAAUAAAUAAUUCUGGUUUAUAAUAUUAUUAAUAUUAACAUUAAUUAAAAAUUAUAAUAACAUUUCAAAAAUUCCCUUUUAAAUCAUUUAAAAAUUUUCAAAAUAUGAUUACCCUCAAUCAAACAUUCAUUGAAAAAAUUUAGUUUCAAACUUUUUGCAAUACAUAAGCAAGAAAUAAAUAUCAUUUAAUUUCUAUAAGAAAAUGUGCCAAUUAAACAUUAACGAAAUUCAAUAAGAUGCAGUAUUCAAGCAAAGUCAUGCAUCAAAACAGUGUGACAACAAGAAUUAAUGCAUGGUCACAUUAUCAACAUUUGCAUAUUAAUGAUAUAAGUAAUAAAGCUUAUACAAAAAAAACUUUGUUGAAGAUUAGAUCAAAGAUCCAAGACAAUUGCCUUUCUUGUAAAACCACUAGCGUUUCUUCUGAUCAGUGCUCAAAUAUGGGGAAGGAACCACUCUAGUUGUAGUGGUUGUUGUUGCAACAUAGAAGUUGGGAUGAUUUGCAGUGGUGAUUCACAUCGUUUAAAAAUGGUGUAUAAAAGUCUAAUGCAUUUUGGCACAACUUUGGCAUAUAUCCUAAAGCCCCUUUUCUCUUGUGAUGGAGAGGGCUUUUAUAGAUGAGGGGGUGCUUUUAUAUGGGUGACCUGGGCAGAAGCGCCCAUCCAAAUUCUGCACGAACUUAGAAUCGAGUAAACAAAGUUGAGUCCGUGACACAUUACGAGUGUUAGAAUUGUGUGACCCAAAUUCUAAGAGAUUGCUUGCAAGUCAAGUUCAACAAAAAUAUAUUUUCUUUCUAGAAGAUUUAGUAUUUAUUAGUAUAAUAUAUUUAUCAUUUAUUAGUAUAGUUUAUUUGACUUACUAAUUUAGCCUAUAAAUAGGCUCUUUUACAAUCUUAGAAAUUAGAGACACCCAUUAGAUUAGAACUCAUAACACAUUCAGAGAAUUUUGUGUUUACGUUUUGAGGGUUCUUUGUUUUUCGGGUUUUCGGGGUUUAGUUUUUAUCUCUAUCUUUUGUACUCUUCAUUCUUUUGCCAUUAUAGUAAAAUUAUCUUUGCCCGUCGUUUUUUAUCCUCUUUUGAGGGGUUUUUCCACGUUAAAUUUGUGUGUUCAUCUUCUCAAUUUCUUCUACUAUUUUUACUUGUUCGUUGCUUAAUCGGGACGAUCCUAACAAGUGGUAUCAGAGCUAGUUUAACUUUCAUAGAUCAGCCCGUUCAGAGAUGUCAGCAACAAGGUUUGAAAUUGAGAAGUUCAAUGGUGAGACAAAUUUCAAUCUGUGGCAAGUUCGGAUGAUGGCAAUUCUAGUUCAAAAUGGCUUGAAAAAGGUUGUUACAGGGAAAAAGCCUGAGAAUCUUAAUCAAACAGAAUGGGAAGAGCUUGAUGAAAAGGCCUUAUCUGCAAUCCAGUUGUGCCUCGCGAAUACAGUAUUGCAGGAGGUAUUGAUGGAGAAGACCUCAUUCGCCUUGUGGAAAAGGUUAGAAACUCUUUAUGCGACUAAGUCUCUGGCUAACCGUUUAGUGUUGAAACAACGUCUAUUUACGUUUCGCAUGAACGAAAGUGAGCUUCUUAAAGAUCACAUCAGUCAAUUCAUUACUCUUUUAAAUGAUUUAAAGAACGUUGAGGUUCAUAUUGACGAUGAAGAUCAAGCUAUGCUAUUAUUGUGUUUUUUACCCUCUUCAUACAAGUCUUUCAGGGAGACCCUGAUUUAUGGCAGAGACAAACUCUCGUUCGAAGAUGUGAAGGGUUAUUUGUUGAGUAGAGACAAACUCGACAAUGAGUUUGGUUUGAAUAGCAAAGCAGAUAGGCAAGCUUCCGUUUUGGUAGCAUUAAAGAAACAAGACAAAAGGUGUCGCUAUUGUAAAAAGUUAGGUCACUUCAAAGCAGAUUGUUAUAAACUGCGAAAUAAAAGAGCUGCUGAGAGUAACGAGGAAGAUGUAGCUGGUGCUAAUUUGGUCGAUGAAGGCGAUGAUGAUUUCUUGUUAGUGUCAACGAGCGAUAAUUCCAAGCUUACGUCUGAGUGGAUCCUAGAUUCAGGAUGUUCUUUCCACAUAUGUCCCAAUAGAGAAUGGUUCUCCACAUACAGUUCAGUUGAAGGUGGAGUUGUGCACAUGGGAAACGAUUCAUCUAGUAAAAUAAUCGGUAUUGGUACUAUUAAAAUUAGGAUACACGAUGGGACGAUUAGGACACUCUCAGAUGUCAGGUAUGUACUUGAUUUACGAAAGAAUCUCAUCUCCUUGAGUAUUUUAGACUUGAAAGGAUGCAGAAUCAACAUCGAGUCGAGCGACAUUAAAGUAUCUCGUGGAGCUUUCGUUUUGUUAAAAGGUAAAAGAGCCGGCAGUCUUUAUAUUCUGGAAGGUUCUACAGUGACUAGUGAAAUCGGACGUCCCUCGUCCGUUACGGAGUCAAAGUCAACUCAUUUGAAGCGGAGGCAACUUGGUCAUAAGAGGGAAAAAUGUAUGACCGUUUCGUUGAAGAGAGGUUCUCUUUUGGAUGCAAGUUUUGAAAAGUUAGGGCACUGUAUUCGUGAAAAUCAGACCCGGGUUAGUUUUGAUUUGGCAGUGCACAAGUCGAAGGCUAGAAGUCUUCCAGCUUCUAAGCAUAGAUUCGACUCAGUUAAUUCCCUGCAUAGUUCAAGAUAGGCCCGUGGCGGGUUUUGGCAAAGAUGGCAUUGAAAAAAUUUGUGUCAAGGUGGAGAUUGUUAGAAUUGUGUGACCCAAAUUCUAAGAGAUUGCUUGCAAGUCAAGUUAAACAAAUAUAUAUUUUCUUUCUAGAAGAUUUAGUAUUUAUUAGUAUAAUAUAUUUAGCAUUUAUUAGUAUAGUUUAUUUGACUUACUAAUUUAGCCUAUAAAUAGGCUCUUUUACAAUCUUAGAAAUUAGAGACACCCAUUAGAUUAGAACUCAUAACACAUUCAGAGAAUUUUGUGUUUACGUUUUGAGGGUUCUUUGUUUUUCGGGUUUUCGGGGUUUAGUUUUUAUCUCCAUCUUUUGUACUCUUCAUUCUUUUGUCAUUAUAGUAAAAUUAUCUUUGCCCGUCGUUUUUUAUCCUCUUUUGAGGGGUUUUUCCACGUUAAAUUUGUGUGUUCAUCUUCUCAAUUUCUUCUACUAUUUUUACUUGUUCAUUACUUAAUCGGGACGAUCCUAACAACGAGCUUAAGUAUAUUCUUCGAUAGAAAUUUUUUUAGCUAACUGGAUAUAUAGUAAAAGCAGCAUUAAGUAUUCCUAAAAAGAUUUUUUAUCUUCGAUGAAUCAUCACCAAACACCAUGAUCACCUUUAAAGCGGAUAUUGAAAAUUCUCUCAUGUGUUCUAAACUUACACUCUACCUGUGCGAAUUGCAGAACUCCCCACAGUUAGUGAUUGUCUUUUUACCUUGUCCCUCUUUAGUCCCACAAAAUAAAUAAUUUAAUUUGUCUUUUUCCUUUUUUUUUUUUGUUUCUUUUUGCGAUAAUAAUGCAUCCACGUAACAUCAUCACUGCAUUGCAAAAAGUCCUUAGCUUUCAUACUUGCCAAUGCUUCUGUAUUUUUCCGAAAUUAAAUUGUAAUGAACCAAAAGAAAUCGUCUAUCACUACUUUUAGUUAAAAUUAAAUGAAAUACGAAAGGACACAAAAAGUAAUUGCCUACAUAAAUAUAUUACUUUUGUAGAGGUUAUAUUUAUGAUCUAUAUAGUAUAAUGUUGGGGUAAACUCGAGUUAAGAAACGAAUAAGAAUAAAUAGAGAAAAAUCGGAUACAAAUAUUUACAUGAAAAAACUCUUCUUAAGAGACAAUUCAUGGUUCAGACGACUAGUAAAAAUAGAAAAGAAUAAACGAAUUGAGUUGUGAAAUGAGUUCAUGGAUUUACCAAAUUUUUAGGUCUUUACAAAUUUAAUUUGUCUUUUUCCUUUUUUUGUUUCUUUUUGCAAUAAUAAUGCAUCCUUUCUUUUUUUUUUUCCAUAACGUGUGGUGGAGGUACUUCAGUCAUCAAUCAUAUUUUUGCUGGAGAAAUGUCUUCUUCGUUUCAUUAAUCAUUUAGAGCAUAAGCAAUUACAACUUCAUGAAAAAAAAUGGGUAUUCUUCCACCCACAUAACAUCAUCACUGUAUUGCAAAAAUUCCUUAGCUUUCACACUUGCCAAUGCUUCUGUUAGUUAAAUUUAAAUGAAAUACGAAAGGACACAAAAAAUAAUUGCCUACAUAAAUAUAUUACUUUUGUAGAGGUUAUAUUUAUGAUCUAUAUAGUAUAAUGUUGGGGUAAACUCGAGUUAAGCAACGAAUAAGAAUAAAUAGAGAAAAAUCACAUAUAAAUAUUUACUUAAAAAAUUCAUCUUAAGAGGAUAAAAAAUCACGGGUAAAAAAAACUUCACUAGAAUGGCAAAUAACUGAAGAGGAGUACAAGAUAGAGAAACAAAAAACAAAUCCAAACUCAAAAACACAAAGUUCUUCCGAAAUUCCCAAAAAACUCUCUCUUAAUUAUGUUGUUGAAUUGAUCUCUCUAGUGUUGCUAAAAGCCCUAUUUAUAGGCUGAAAUCCAUGUGAAAAUAUGACUAAAACAUCUCUAGAAUAAUCAAAGUUAAACUAGAAAAAGAUAACAAAGUUCAAUUAAGAGAUACAAUUCGGUUUAGUAGAUAACACAUCGUCACGUCGUGACAUGGCAUAUUGCCUUGUCGAGACGUCAUUCUUCGCAUCGUUAAGACAUUGUCUCUUUCUCGUCCCGACGUUAACCCUAUUUCAUCUAAAAUGUGAGGUAUAGAUGAGAGGGCCAAAUGAGAUUUCCAAACCACAAUAAUUUAAAAUGUUUGAUAUAUUAUAUAUUAUACACAUUAAAAGAUCUUAUUGGUCGAUUGUGGAGAUUAUUAUAUGCCAUUGCACGCUUUUCCUCUAUAAAUGAUGUUCUUCUUGAUUAUUCGUUCCAUACAUUGUUCUUAAAUCAAUGGCUGAGCAGUACAUGGCUGGAGUUGGAGGUGUUAUAGCCUCUCUUUUGGGGUUUGUUUUCUUGUACUGCAGUUCCCUAAUCAGAUUUAGGGGACUGAAGAAGCUAAACAGAGCAGCUUCAAUGGGGUUUCCAAAGAAAAACAGAGUAAACAAAACUGGAAAGAGUGAGGGUGUUGGCACUGCGGAUAUUAUCAUAGUCGGCGCCGGUGUUGCCGGUGCUGCUCUUGCCUAUUCUCUUGGAAAGGUCUCAUAAUUUCUUCUUUUUUCUUUAUUUUGUUCUACCAUUGUUUAAUCAUCUUAUUUUCCUCGUCUAGCAUAUAACAAUUACUAAUUUUUUAGUAAAAGUAUCAUGCUCCUAGUAAAGUUCCUGUACUAAGAUUAGAUUGCAUUUUAUUCCUUUUACUCAAAAAAUGAGUAAAUUAGUUCUUGUAGGAUAGAUUAAAUAGAAAAUUGGUAUUUUCUGUUAAAAAAUUUAUCCAUUUUUACUGUUAAAAAUUGACGUGGCUGAUGAUAUAACCAGUCAGUUACACAUAGUGUAUCAUGUGUACCUCAUGCUAACGUAUAGGGAUCGAUUUUAAAUAGUAGAAAUGAAUAGAAUUUUUAACUGAGAACCAGUUUGCUUUUUAAUAUAAUGAGACUAAUUUACUAUUUUUUAAGUAGAGGAACAAAAUGCAAUCUGAUUCUUAGUACAAUGGCCUCCAUGAUACUUUAACCAAAUUUUUUUGAAAAGAACAAUUACUAAUUAAGUUCGCAUUUUAUUAUUAUUGGUUGAAGUGAUAUAUGGGAAGAUAGUAUUUCGAUAACUUAAUUUAAGUUCACGUGAAUUUGUGUUGAUUUUUUUGUAAUAAAUUCAAAUUUUAAUUUGAUGGUAAAAUGAAAUAAUCAAUGUUGUUUUUGAAAUUAGAUUUAGAGUACUGGCUUGAGCUGGAUUUUAUAUAUUUUAUAUUUUUAAUAAUUUAUUUGAUUUAUAUAAAAUGAACAGAUUGAACCGAAAAUCAAUGAUUUUAUCAAUUUAACUACCGAUACGAUUUAAAAAUAAUAACUAAAAAUAUAUAUUUGACUCUUUUUAAUUGAUAACUAUGUAAUAUCAAGUAGUAGUUAAAAAAUAUAUAAAAUCUAUUUUGACAGUCCAAUUUGAUUUUAUUUAAUAUAAAUGCAUAUAAAUAUCUAAAUUACUGUCAUGUAUACUGCCAGUGAAAUUAAAAAAAAUUCAUAAGCAAGUUAAAAAAGAUUUUGUAUGUCCUUUAUUUAAAUAUAUGCUCAAAGUAGUUAUAGUGUAGAAACAAGCUUGUACAAAGGCGGGGAAAAAUCACGAUAAGAAAUAAUAUCUGAGUAAAAAACAUCCAUGGUAUACACACAUGAUGGAAUUAGAGAUUUACAUGUCACAAUUGCGCAUGAUAAAACUCAAACUUGAGUGCUUAAGAACCCAAAGUCUUUGCAUUAAGCAACAAUGCCAAGAUUUCAUUGGCUUUCAAAUUUGGAUUUCAAUAUGAUACCAUAUGUAACAAUUCUUAACAACUUACAUGUUACAGGAUGGACGUCGAGUACGAGUGAUAGAAAGGGACUUAAAUGCGCCUAAUAGAAUGGCUGGUGAAAGUCUAAUACCAGGGGGCUACUUAAAGUUAAUUGAAUUAGGCCUUGAGGGUAAACAAGAAAAAUCAUAGAUUUAAAUAGUAGAUGUAAUAUAAUGUUAUAAUGUUAUUUCUUUAUAAAAUUACUUAUUUUACUUUUAAGUGUUGGUUCUAUAGACUGUGUAGAUGAGAUUGAUGCGCAACGACUUUUGGGUUAUACUCUAUACAAGGAUGGAAAGGAGGCUCAAGUAUCUUUUCCUUUAGAAAAGUUCCAAUCUCAUGUUGCAGGAAGAACAUUUCAUAAUGGUCGUUUUGUUCAAAGGUUGCGGAAAAAAGUUGCAUCUCUUCACAAGUACUUUCUCUCUCCCUCCUCUCAAUCAUUCUUCAAUUUCAACAUAAGACACCAGAACAUUUUAUCUUAAAGGAUUAAGUGAUUUGUAGUUUGUUUUAAUUCAUUGCUUCUGUUUAGACCUGUCAAUUGAGCUAGUCAAGUCGAUUUUGGGUCAAGUCAACCUAGAUCGAGUCAUUCGAGUUUUACAAUUUUUUGCUUAAAUUUGGUUUUAGUGAGCUUAGAUUCAAGUCAUUUCAGGUUUGGGUUAAAUUCGGGUUUGGACCGUUUCAAGUUUGGAUUUGAGUCCUUUCGGGUUUAGGUCAAUAGGGUUUGAAGCUCAAGUUUUUAGGGUCAGCUCAUGAUAGGUUCAUGUCAUUUUAGGUUACAGUCACCUCGAUUUUUUAUCUUUUCAAGUUGCUUGUUUGGAUCAUUUUGGGUUUGAGUAGCCAAUUUAUGUUAGAGUAAAACGAGGUUCAGUUUAGAGGGAUUCAUGUUGUUGACCAUUUAUAGUCAAAUCAAGGCAAGUUUAGGUUUGAAUUGAUCAAGUUAUAUUUUAGGCUUAAGUUAACAUUGACAAGUUCACUUCUAUUUGUAUUUACUUGUUACAACAAUUUAUUAUAAAGAGUACAUUUGAAAUUAUACUUUUUCUUUAGAAGAUCCAAUUUGAUGUUUUGAUGUUAUGAUAAUGUAGCAUAAGUUUAGAACAAGGGACAGUAACAUCUCUGAUCGAAGAAAAUGGUAUUGUUAAAGGAGUGCAGUACAAAAAUGAGAGUGGUCAAGUGUUGACAGCUUAUGCUUCUCUCACAAUUGUAUGCGAUGGUUGUUUCUCAAAUUUGAGACGCUCUCUUUGCUAUCCUAAGGUGAAAAUGCUUGGGAAUUCUUGUUAAAUUUGUUCAAUUAUGGUUUAUGUCUCUUUAUUAUGCUAAAAUUUUAUAUUUAAUCAUUCUACUUUAUUUUUUAUUUAAUUUAAAUCCAUUUAUUUUUAUAAUGUUAUUGUAUGUCCAAAUUAAUAAUAUUAUUAGUUGCUUUUUAUUAUAAAUGGUACCUACUAAUAACAUUUAGAGAUCAAUUUUUUUUUCCAAAUUAAAGCAAAGAGAUUAAAUUCUAAUUUUAGGAUAAUAGAGGGGCUAAAUCCUAAAUUCUAUGCUUUGAGAAAAUAUAUAAAGGUCUUUAUUAUUUUUGCAGGUUGAUAUACCCUCUUAUUUUGUUGGUUUUAUACUGACGAACUGUAACCUUCCAACUAAAAAUUAUGGAGCUAUUAUAUUAGCACACCCUUCGCCAAUCGUAUUCUCUCCCAUUAGCAGCACUGAAAUUCGUUGCAUGGUGAAUGUUCCUAGUGAAAAGGUACCUUCAGUUUCCAAUGGUGAAAUGGCAUGUUACUUGAAAACUCAGGUGGCUCCCAAGGUAUAUUUAGAUCUUUCUUUUCUUCUUUCAUUAGGGGAAUUUGGCUUAAUUUAUGGACGAACUGUAUGGCUUAUAAUACAUUUCAGGUUCUUCCUGAAUUGUACGAUUCCUUUAUAUCAGCAAUAGAGAAGAAGGGUAACAUAAGAAUAGCGCCGAAUAAAAUUAUGGCUGCUGCUCCACACCUGACUCCUGGUGCGCUUUUGAUUGGAGAUGCACUCAACAUGCGGCACGCUAUAACCGGAGGGGGAAUGACUGUUGCUCUGUCUGAUGUUGUAAUACUUAGGGAUCUUCUAAGACCCUUGCAUGAUCUAUCCGAUGCAUCCACCAUUUCUAAAUAUCUCGAAUCUUUUUACACCCUGAGGAAGGUAUUGUAGCUUCAUGUUUUAUAUGCAUUUUGAAAGUGAAUGGCAAUGAUGAAAACUGUUAAGAAAUGGCUUAAAAUUGGUAGUGGAUUGUUGUUGUUGGUAGUGGGUUGUUGGUGGUAGUGGAUUAGUGGAUGGUUGUUGGUGUCCAUUUUCAACCACAAAUCUUUGCCAAAGUUUUGGACAAUUAUGUCCUUGAACUCUCUUAUAAAUAGAGAGGUUCAUUAGCCAUAUUCAUCAUCCCAAACCAAGAGAGAGCAAAGCUUGUUCUUUGAAAGCUAGGAUUUUAGCUUUCGGGUUUUCUAUAGGGGUUGAGAGUUGUGAGGUUCUCGGGUUGUGUCUUGAGUGUAAAACACUUGUAAUCUUCAUCUUGUUAUAGUGAAAUUUCUUUUCGCCUCUGCCCGUGGACGUAGGCAUUAAAGCCGAACCACGUAAAUCCUUGUGUUCACUUUAUUUUUCGUUCCGGUCAAUUUACUUGUAGUCAUAUCGGAGUUCUCGAAUCGAUCCUUUCCGCAACAAAUUGGUAUCAGAGCGUAGUUGAAGGAGUGAUAAUAUUUUCUGAAUUGCCCUGUGACUGCAGCUUUGUCUGAUCUUUCACAUCAGGAAGAAAAUAUUAUCAUUCAUUCAAAGGUUCCAAAUUAUGGCUACAAGUGUUUCAUCGACUAAGUAUGAUGUCGAGAAAUUUACCGGGAAAAAUAGUUUCAGUUUAUGGCGCAUCAAGAUGCGGGCAGUGCUGGUUCAACAAGGAUUGCUAAAAGCAUUGUCUGGUAAAGAUAAAUUACCAAGCACGCUUUCGGAAGAGCAAAAGGAUGACAUGCUAGAAAGAGCACAUAGUGCUAUUCUGCUAUGUCUAGGAGAUGAAGUGCUACGAGAAGUAGCGGAUGAGAAAACCGCGUCCGGUUUGUGGCUCCGGUUAGAGAGCAAGUACAUGACGAAGUCAUUGACGAACCGGCUCUACCUCAAGCAAAGACUCUAUGCCCUGAAGAUGGAGGAAGGUACACCUGUUUCCCAGCACCUGGAUAAAUUCAAUUCCAUUAUCAUGGAUUUGAAUAAUAUCGAUAACAAAAUCGAUGAUGAGGACCAAGCAAUAAUUGUUUUGUGUUCUUUGCCUCCCUCGUAUGAGAAUUUUGUUGAUACAAUGAUGUACGGUCGUGAUGACCUGACUCUAGAGGAGGUGAAAAAUGCCUUAAGUUCCAGUGAGUUGAGGAAGAAAAUCACUGGUAAGGUGGUCGAAAACAAUGAAGGCGAAGGCUUGGUUGCUCGAGGAAGAUCCAAGGCAAAGGGUGGAAGUUCAAGUAAAAUCCAUCCUAGAUCGCAGUCCAAGAAGAGAAUACAGUGCUACUACUGUAAGAAGUACGGGCACAUGAAGGUAGAUUGUCCGAAAAGGAAGGAGAAAUCAGAAUCACAGGAGCAACAAAAUGAUCGUGCGAAUGUAGCUGAUGCAGAUUCUUCAAGUGAUGCCGAGAUCGUUCUUGCAGUAUCCGACUCUUACGCUGGUGGGAGAUGGAUUCUUGAUACGGGAGCUACAUUUCAUAUAAGUACUUCGAAAGAUGCAUUCUCAACAUACGAGAAGCAUUCUGGUUCAGUACUAAUGGGAAAUGACCACGCAUGUCAAGUCAUGGGGAUUGGCACAGUUCGUAUAAAGAUGUUUGACGGUAUUGUUAGAACUCUAACUGAUGUUCGGCACAUUCCAGAAAUGAAGAAAAAUUUGAUCUCUUUGAGUACGUUGGACAAGAAAGGCUUUCGGUACUCUGCUGAAGGUGGAGUUCUCAAGGUAUUCUCGGGUGCUUUGACUGUGAUACGUGGUAAUUUGGAGCGGGGCCUUUACUUCCUCGAUGGUUCCUCGGUUACAGGUGUUGCGGGAGUGUCAUCAUCAGAUGAUCUAGAUUCUGACACCACGAAGUUAUGGCAUAUGCGGCUCGGGCAUAUGAGCGAGAGAGGCUUAUCGGUGCUAAGCAAACGAGGAUUAUUGUCUGGGCAGUGUACAGGAAAGUUGAAUUUCUGUGAGCACUGCGUCUUCGGUAAGCAGACUCGGGUAAAGUUCAGCACUGGGAUUCACAAGACAAAAGGCACAGUGGAUUACUUCCAUUCUGACCUUUGGGGGCCUUCUCCGACAAUUUCUAAAGGUGGUUACAGAUAUCUGCUUACCUUUAUCGAUGAUUACUCGAGAAAGGUUUGGGUGUAUUUUCUGAAGAGCAAGUAUGAGGUUCUCAUCAACUUCAAGCAAUUUAAAGCUUUGAUCGAAAAUCAAACAGGAAAGAAGAUCAAGCGAUUCCGGACGGAUAAUGGCUUGGAGUUUUGCUCAGGUGAAUUCAAUGAGUUCUGCAAAAAUGAAGGAAUAGUGAGACACCGCACUGUUCGUCGAACACCACAACAAAAUGGAGUUGCAGAACGCAUGAAUAGAACUCUCUUGGAGCGAGCUCGUUGCAUGCGAUCAAAUGCUGGGCUCGGUGAAGAAUUUUGGGCUGAAGCUGUUAAUACUGCUUGUUAUUUGGUUAACAGAUCUCCGUCAACAGCUAUUGAGCUGAAGACUCCUGAGGAAGUAUGGUCUGGUUCUCCUGCUGAUUACUCUGGUUUAAGAGUGUUUGGCUGCCCUGCGUAUGCUCAUGUAAAUGAGGGAAAACUCAAACCGAGGGCGAAGAAAUGCAUAUUUCUUGGAUACGGCCAAGGGGUGAAAGGAUACAGGUUGUGGUGUCCUGAUCCGGUUUCGUCCAAGUUCAUCAUCAGCAGAGAUGUGACUUUUGAUGAGUCAUCCAUGCUUCGAUCCACCACAAAUUCCCGGGAAAAGGAGGAGUCAGAUAGAAUGGGAGAUCACGGUGUUGAGAAGCAGGUGGAGUGUCAGGUGGACGCUCCAAUUCCUACGGAAGGUACUUCAGUCCAGGAUGAUCAAGUUGAGGUGCAAGAUUCCGAUGAAGAUGAGUCACCUCAAGAAAAACCAUAUAGCAUUGCCACUGGAAGAACGAAGAGACAAAUCAAACCAAAUCCGCGUUACGCUAAUCUGGUGUCUUUCGCGCUCAGUGUGGCGGAGUCCAUUGGUAUAGAACCUUCCAGUUAUAAUGAGGCUGUCACGUGUGAUGAGUCGGCACAGUGGGCAAUUGCUAUGAGUGAGGAGAUAGAAUCUCUUCACAAGAACCAUACUUGGGAGUUGGUUAAGCCGCCAAGUAACCAGAAGAUAGUUGGUUGCAAAUGGGUCUUCAAGAAAAAGGAAGGCAUCCUAGGGGUUGAAGCAACUAGAUUCAAGGCACGAUUGGUUGCUAAAGGCUUCACUCAGAAAGAGGGGAUUGACUACAAUGAAGUUUUCUCCCCAGUCGUAAAGCAUUCUUCCAUUCGUGUAUUACUUGCCAUGGUGGCCAAGUCUGAUCUAGAACUUGAGCAGCUUGACGUAAAAACGGCGUUCUUGCAUGGUGAGCUCGAGGAAAUAAUCUACAUGCGUCAACCAGAGGGUUUUACAGUUCCUGGUAAAGAAGACCAUGUCUGUCUAUUAAAGAAGUCUUUAUAUGGAUUGAAACAAUCCCCAAGGCAGUGGUACAAGCGGUUUGAUAGCUUCAUGAUUCAGCAUGGUUACACAAGAUGUGACUAUGAUGCUUGUGUCUAUCAUCGGAAGCUCUCAGAUGGUUCGCACAUUUAUUUGUUGCUGUAUGUUGAUGACAUGUUAAUUGCUUCCAAAAACAUGUCGGAAAUCAACAAGUUAAAGUCGCAGUUGAGUGGUGAGUUCGAGAUGAAGGAUCUGGGUGCUGCCAAGAAAAUUUUGGGCAUGGAUAUUCACAGAGAUCGCAAGGCGGGCAAGCUUCGUGUGUCGCAGAAGAACUACAUUGAAAAGGUUCUUCAACGCUUCGGCAUGGAUAAAGCGAAAACUGUGAGUACUCCGUUGGCACCACAUUUCAAACUCUCUGCAGAGUUGUCACCACAAUCUGAUGAAGAAAAGCAGCAAAUGUCUCACAUUCCAUACUCGAGUGCAGUUGGAAGCGUGAUGUAUGCAAUGGUUUGCACUCGUCCAGACAUUUCACAUGCAGUUAGUGUGGUCAGCAGAUACAUGAGUUGUCCUGGCAAGGAACACUGGCAGGCCGUGAAAUGGAUUCUCAGGUACUUGAGAGGUUCUGCAGAUUUAUGCUUGGUAUAUGAUCAGAGUGACUGCACUAGCAGUGUCACGGGCUAUGUGGACUCUGAUUAUGCUGGAGAUCUGGACAAAAGAAGAUCUCUGACGGGUUAUGUUUUCACUUAUUCUGGAGGAGCCAUUAGUUGGAAAGCUGUGUUACAGUCUACCGUAGCCUUAUCUACGACUGAGGCGGAAUAUAUGGCGUUAGCAGAAGCAGUGAAAGAAGCAUUGUGGAUGAAAGGUCUAGUAAGCAGUUUGGGUUUACAACAGGAUUUCACUGUUGUAUUUUGCGAUAGCCAGAGUGCCAUACAUCUGACUAAAAAUCAGAUGUUUCAUGAACGGACCAAACACAUUGAUGUCAGAUAUCAUUUUGUUCGGGAACAUGUUACGCAAGGUGACAUUGUUAUCAGCAAGGUUGCUACCGAGAAGAAUCCUGCAGAUAUGUUAACUAAGGUGAUCCCUGCAUAUAAGUUCAAGCAUUGCUUGGACUUGAUAGGUAUUCGGGAUUGAUUAGCGCCAGAGAGGCGUUUGGAAGAGGUGAUCCAGUUCGAGGAAUUCACUAUGAUGUUCAGCUUGGUAAAUUUCAAGCCAAGGUGGAGAUUUGUUAAGAAAUGGCUUAAAAUUGGUAGUGGAUUGUUGUUGUUGGUAGUGGGUUGUUGGUGGUAGUGGAUUAGUGGAUGGUUGUUGGUGUCCAUUUUCAACCACAAAUCUUUGCCAAAGUUUUGGACAAUUAUGUCCUUGAACUCUCUUAUAAAUAGAGAGGUUCAUUAGCCAUAUUCAUCAUCCCAAACCAAGAGAGAGCAAAGCUUGUUCUUUGAAAGCUAGGAUUUUAGCUUUCGGGUUUUCUAUAGGGGUUGAGAGUUGUGAGGUUCUCGGGUUGUGUCUUGAGUGUAAAACACUUGUAAUCUUCAUCUUGUUAUAGUGAAAUUUCUUUUCGCCUCUGCCCGUGGACGUAGGCAUUAAAGCCGAACCACGUAAAUCCUUGUGUUCACUUUAUUUUUCGUUCCGGUCAAUUUACUUGUAGUCAUAUCGGAGUUCUCGAAUCGAUCCUUUCCGCAACAAAAACGGUAUAAUUUUGCCCUUUAACUACAUGCAGCCAAUGUCAUCUACAAUAAAUAUACUGGCUAAUGUCCUACAGAAGGUAUUCAGUGCCUCGUCCAAUCCUGCAAUGGAGAAUCUGCAGCACACCUUUUUGGGGUAUUUGAGACUUGGAGGGAUGUUUUCAUAUGGAGCAUCCGCUAUGCUCUGUGGUUUAUGCCCUUCUCCAUUAAGCUUAGCAUUUCAUUUCUUUUCCAUUGCAAUAUAUGGCGUUGGCCGAUUGUUACUUCCAUUUCCUU